Molecule: long non-coding RNA, 46135 nt
Filed under: Gossypium raimondii (Peruvian cotton)
Lineage: Eukaryota; Viridiplantae; Streptophyta; Magnoliopsida; Malvales; Malvaceae
Description: long non-coding RNA (GRAI_LNC006903)
Source: RNAcentral
AUUCCCUGCAUCUCUACUGAUUUUUACUCCUCCCCAACCUUGAAAACUAAAAAAAUAAAGAAAAUAAAAAACAAUUGAUAACCAAGAAACAUGAAAAGAGAAAGAGCUUUUGAAAUUCAUCUACAUAUUAAUUAAAUGUCCAAUUUUUGUAGAAUGGUUCAAAAGAAUAUAUAUAUAUAUAUAUAUAUAUAUAUAUAUAUAUAUUAAUUUUUGUUACAAGACAUUCGAUUGAAGAAAGUAUUGGAUGCAUUAUUGUCAAAGAAACUUGAACUGCUUUUAAGAAAUUAUCAAACUAAUAUAUUUAAAUUUCAACUUGGCCUAUAAGAUACAAGCUAAAUGAACGAUUAACCAAUUUGUAUUUGGACUAAAAGUAUAAAGGUGAAGACAAAUUAGAACAAUAACUCAACAUACAAGUAAAAAAAAAGGUGAACGUCUACUUAGAAAUGGAGUCCAUCGACAAAACUUUAUUAGUCACUUAUCGAAUAAAACUUUCAGCACUUAUCGGUUAGUUGCAGGGCCAUAGAGUAGGGUCUCAUUAUUGGCCAUUAUAUUUCUCGCUAGGUUAGGUAAUCUAAUUCAUUAAAAUCAAACUAAUAAAUAUAAAAUACAAAACGUCAUUUACUAUUGACAAGACAAACAAGCAUAACAUACAAAAAGUUACUGUCUGUUUACUUAGCAAAUGAUUAGUCAGUAAUGAUUUGAUAACCCACAUGUUAUCACCACUGUUUAUACAAACUCUAUUUCAUAUCUGCGCUCACAACGAAACAGAGAGAAGGCAGUUUAGUUAGUUUAUCUACCUACCAACCAACCCUCCAUCCAUUAACAGUUUCAAUUUACAAAGGCAACAAAAGUGAAAAGACAAACGCUUAGCAGUGCAACUUGAUUACAUGAGCUACCCUCUGGAAGAAAAGAGGGCACAUGCCAGUGCUGAACUUAAUCACAUCCCUCAUCCACUCCGGCGCCACUCUCUCAAAUGUCCCUAAUGACAAUACCCUGUACACCAACUCUGCUUCUUCUCCGCCAGCUUUGUUUAUCCAUGUUAGACUGAAUGAGUAACCUGUUUUAUUUAUCCACAAUAAUAAUAAAAACCAAUUAGUUUUGAAAUGAUUCUUCAAUAGCUAUCACAAAUCUGAUACUCGAAAUUUUAUGGAUUCAGUAUGAUGCUUAAGUAAAGAAUUACCACUUGGUUGAUGCAGAGCUGAAAUGCAUAGUCCGCCAGUUUGAUUAUUAGUGGAUAUUUUCAUGUCCAGUAAGCACUCAGUAAGAGCUUGAAAAAGACAAGUAGCUCUAGCAGUGACUGUGGCACUUGCAUCUGGACUGCCUUUACAGCAUUCUGGCUGGCAUAGUCAUCCAAAACAAUCAGUACAGAACACACAUGUAGAAGCUAACAGCUUUUGAGUAAAAAGAUAAUAGAUUGAGAUGAUACCAGCUGAAAAUGUGUAAGAUCCUCACGAGACAAAGCUUUCUCAGACAAGUCUUCUGCCAAUGCAUUAGUCAUGGCAACAUUGCAGUUAGUUGAAACAGAAGUAAUAAUAUUGUCAUUUGUCUCAGCAGCAGAUUCCCUGCUACACUUACUCGUCAUCAUUCCAAUGGACCUUCCAGAAACCUUUUCAGAUGAAACUUGUGCAAUUCUAGCAGAAACUGUUGGUAUAAUAUCUAGUUUGCCAUCUUUAUUUUGUCCCUCAUGGUGCAGAUUUUGCAGCCUGCUAACUUCUAGAGAAAGUGCUUUAUCUGCCAUAAAUUUUAGACUUCAGUAAGAAAGACCUAAACAAAUGCUUAAUAGGCAGCACAAGAAAGUUAAAAGGUUUAAUAAAGGCAACACAUUAGAAGUCUGGUGCACAAGUCACUAAAAUCUUGCCAUAGACUAGAGGCGGCUAUAAGAUGGAUCACUUAAAUUUUGCAACCUUUCAGCUGAUAAUUACUCGAUUCUGAUUAUUUUACAAGCAUUAUGUAAAUUAUUAAGAUGCCUUUGUUAGCAGGAUGUGAUCCAAAAGAGCAGUGUUAUAUACAUAGACUUAACCACUUCAAUUCAUUUUCUACUCAGGUAAAAACUAGAGCAUAGAAAACCAUAUCCAACCAAAACUAUAGUUUUAUUUCCUGUAGUCAUUUAAAGUGAUAAGAUUUUUUUUUCUAGUUCUUGCCUAGAAGACUUAAUACCCUCAGCAUCAAUUAAUGCCAGUUUUCUGGCAAUAGCAUGACUGAGUUCCUAUAUUCUGAUAUUCAACAAAGAUGAAGCAGAAACAACACCAAGUAAGUCAAGGAUGUUGAUACCAUUAUAUUAUAUUCUACACUGGAUGAAAGAGAUAUAAAACAAUAAUCAUCAUAUAAUCAAUAGCUUCUUACACUUCUGAUUCUCUUCAAUCAAAAGCUUUUGGUAGUCUGCACACUGUUUAUCCAUGCUGGACCUUCAAUGAUACUUACAUUUUAAAAUCCAAGAAAGAAAAACUUAUAUCUUACCAUAAAGGCCAAAUGAGAAACUUAAAAUUGCAUACAUUUUAGAGGCCACUUCACUUUUCAAUUCAUUAACUUCUGCAUACAGCUUGUCAUUUUCACUCUUCAGAUGCUGAAUCAAUUCCUCUGCAGCUGCAACAGAAGAAUACAAUCCAUUAAGAAUUUUAGAGGGAUUUAUAUGAUUGCUCAAUUUUUUUCAACUACUAAUGAAACUACUAUCAAAAUUUUCAAGGUAACAAAGAACUUCUGUUCAAGUUUUGUUCAUUUAAUUAGUAACCAGUUCAAACAAGCAUUUCACCAAAACAAACUUGAACUCUUUGCAAGCUCUUUUGUUCAUUCUAGCCUACUCACAUUCAUGGUUAUAAUCAAAUUAUUGCUUCAAUACACAAGAUUGAAUGUUAUUUGUUCUUCACAUAUAGAGCUUGGACCUUAAAUAUUGGUUCAACAAUCAGAACAAGCUUAUGUAUCACUAUCUAGUAGUUGUUGUUUUUACUACCAUCAGCAAAUUAAAUUUCAAAAUGCUAAAACCACAAAAUACCUUCCAACAAAUAAGAGAUGGCAUGACAACCACACAUGAGGAAGGGUGACAAACAACAAACCCAGUACUUGUGUGUGACAUAUAUUCAGACAUGGGUAUAAGCGUAUGACCCUCCAAAUAUAUAGAAAACAUUGAGUAUACCAUGAUGAACAGUCACUUGCAAAUCCAAGUAACAUAGGUCAGUACAUCCUGUUUCUAUUUUCAUAGCUUUUCAUCACACUGUACCACCAUCUCACUACCUACCUAUAAAAUAAUUAGUAAAUGAAAUCAGACAAACCAUUAACACUGAUCAACAAGACAAAAUGGUUUUGAAUUAGAUAAUUCAUUAUUUGUUUACCUUCCUUUCAUUAGACAGGUCAAAACACAAACUUAUGUUUAACGAAAGAGCCAAAGAGAAGUGAUAUUAGUUAUUUUUCUAUGAUAUAUAUACAACAUAUAACAUGUCUAACAAACAUAGAAGAGGAAAAGAAAAACUAAGGUAAGAGUAAGACUUUGCAAUUCACGUAAAAUAUGAAAAUAGGGAUUUAACAAUAACAUGAAGCUACACUUACCACGCACAUAAUUCACAAAUUUCUCUUCUUGAUCUCGAUUUAUGUCAUCCAUUUCGGAAAGUUUUCUCUUCUGAAAAAAAAAAAAAGAAACGAAGAGAAAAAAACAUUUAUGGAAAGAUAAAAGCCACGUUUCAUAAUCAAACAGAUGGGGAAAAAUCGCCAGUUCCAUUUUAACCGAACUAAGAUAACAUUGUAUGCACCUUGCAACUGAAUUACCACUCGAUACAAGUGCCUAAUGCGAAAAAAAAAAGAAGAAAACUUUUAAACGUUUCGCUUUUUUUCUUUAGUCCUACUGGCAACCGAACUUAUAAACAAAGAAAUGGUAUGAUAGAUCUAUAAAGUAGGGAACAGAAGUGCAAAUCUAAAAGUAUAAUUAAAAAAGAAGAAGAAGAAGAAGAAAAAUUUAGGGUAAAAAAGAGCUGAGACCUUAAGCUUGUCAUAUUUGUCGUAAAGCUUUGCAUAUAAAGGCUCCAUCUGCGAAACAAAUAAAAAAUCCAGUUUAUUCGUAUAGGCAUAUUUAUUUAUGCAAAAUUAAGAUGAAAAUAAUUGUUGAAAUCCAUAAUUUUGGAAGUGAUUAAAUAAACCCACGUUUUAGUGUUAGAAAUCGACGAACACAAGAAAACGUUAUGGAAGAAGAAGGAAACAAAGCAAAAGGAAGUUAAAAAAGAAGCAGAAAUCGGGAACUGACCUGAUAAUUCACGGAUUAAAUGAUGAAGAUAAUAUAACAAAGUUGAUGAAAAUUUAAAAGAGUAAGACAGAAAUGGUUUUCUUGUAGCUCUGUUUGGUAGCCUAGAAAACGAGGGAAAAUGGAAUUUCAAAAAUGCAGGAAAGCAGUGACAGAAGAAGCGUCAAAGUGAAGAUGACGGUAAAGAAAAUGCAACGCUGGCGUUUACUUGUGUGGCACUGGCACUGAUUCUCUAAUUCCCAGGCUUGGAAUGAGCGAGCCCGUGGAGGCUUGGCCUUGGGCUUGGCCGGAUGAAAGCUAACUUAGACCCACCCAUAAAAUUAAAUAAUAAAAGUACUUAUUAUUUAACGCCUUAGAUAUUAAAAAAUUAUUAAUUAAUGAAUCAAACCGAACAAUUAUUUUUUCUCAAAAUUGUUUAUUUUUUGUAUUGUUUCUUGAAAUUAUUUUUAUGAAUAGGAUUCAUGCGUUGAAAUUUCAUUAUUAGUUCAAAAUUUCAGAACUAAAUAGUAAGACAAAUUUGAUGUUGAAAAAUAUAAUUUCAAGUAUUUGGAGAAUUUAUUCAAUAAAAAUCAAAUAUUAUGUAAGUCCGCAAUCUCGGAUCAAACUAUAGCAAAAUUCCUUCAAACAAAAUUGAUUACUAAUGCAAUGUUAGUUCAAGCCAAGACCAAGAAGAAAUAUAAAAAGCUAAUGGCUGAAAUGCUCAGCUUAAUGGAUUUUGAAUCAAAAGACGAUAAAUUCUCAAUGUCUUCAAUCAAAAUAGUAGAUCUUGUAGACGAUACCACCUUAACAUCUAUCACCAGAACAAAAAAAAUGAUGAUAAUUUUGUAAAGACAAGAGAUACAUGAAGGCAAAAACAAAAGAUGAACAUGGCAGGAGUGAUUUCUUGCCAAAAGCAACCAAUAAUCAAAAACAAAAAUGAAUAGUGAGAUUCCCUGUAAAAAUGUUGAAAUCAGAUAUCUGUAAAUUAUAAUAAUAAUUUAAAAAGUAGCUAUUAUGCAAUCUUUAUAAUAUUGUAAGGGAUUGAAUUCCCCAAAAAAUGUUGUAUGAAAAAGGAAUAUUAUUCCUUUUCUAUUAACAAUUUCAUAUGAAAAGAAUAAUAUUCUUAUUUCAUACUCUUAUUUUCCCGAUCGAAUUUGAAUUCUCAUAACCACGAGAUGUUUUUGUAGCAACAAAGGCAUGAAAGGGUCUGAAAAUUAUAGUAUGGGAAUGGGAAUCAAUGAGCUAUGAAACACGUUCUUGUAAAUUUAUAUACUAAUUGAGCUUUAACACCAGCUUGAUUUAUUUUUAAAUCUAAUUAAAUUAAUAUUAGAUAGUAGUUACAUAUUUUUUAUAACAAAAAUCAAACUUUUCUCGACAUUAAAUUUUUUUUAUAAAUAUAAUAUAGAUAGAUACAGGGAAGGAAUGUCUCCAAAGAUUCUAUAUGUAUGUAUUAAGUUCUAGAAACCCCAAUGAGCGUGUUUAGGCCGAAGGGUCCCACAGAGAUACAUGUGCAAGGGUUUGGGUUGGGAGCUGCCAUUGACACCCAAUAAAUAGGCUUUGAUCAUCUUUUUGGCUUUUCUAAAUGGUGAACAUCAUCAUUAUCAUGCCUUUAAAAAGCUUCGCUGGAAAAGCACUGAAUUAUUAUCAUUUCUAUGGGGCCAAAAAAAAGAAACGAACACGCUCCGGAAAAAAAGUGCCCCAUUGAGGUGGUUUGUUUUCUCUUUAAUGUAAGGGGUUUUAAGUAGCUUUGGAAUAUUCUUGCUGAAGGUUGUUAGGGGCUGCUGGAAAAUUAGUAAGUUGAUAGUUUUAUUCAUUUCCAGCUGAUGGGUGUUUGUUUUGGGAUUGGGAGGCUAAGAAUUGGAGGAGUUGACCUGAAACGGCUAUCUCAAGUUGGCAUCUGAUUUGGGGAUGCUCUGGUUCUAGGCGGGGACUUGAAGGAGUUUUUGAAGUGGGGUUGCGGCUUUUUUGAAAGAUUCAUUGGGUUUUCUGUGAUUCACAUGUUGAAGAAGAAGCUACAUUUUGGUUACUUUUCAAGGUUUGACCUUACACUGGUGGUGUUUUUGGUGUGAGGGGUUGUGGUUUUAGGCUUUAAACAGUUAAAGCAAAACUGGGUUUUCGUUUUAGAUUUUGAAAGAGCCCAGUUUUAAGGCCACUUACUUGUGUAUUAGGUGUUCUUGUGUUUCAAUUUUGGUAUAGGGUUUAAAGCAUUUGUCGUCGGAGUUCUGCGAGAAAAUGGCAUGCAUGAAACUUGGAUCCAAAACUGAUGCAUUUAAAAGGCAAGGGCAGGCUUGGUAUGUGCCUGAUCUCUGCAAUUCAACUUCAUCUCCAUCUCUCUCUGCCUACAUAUCUUCUGUCUUUGACUAUUGUAAGAUUAUUAUUAUUUAUUUUCUUGUUUUGCUUCACUACGUUUUAAUGUCCACGUGGAUGUGUCAACUGUGCUUUUUUCCCCCGUUAUUUUAGCAUUUAGUUUAAGUUGUUAGAGAUACUUCUAUGUUUAAAUUUACAUCAUGCAUAUGGAUCAAUAGAAAUACUCGUAUAUGCAUAUUUUGGUUCUUGAUUUAAGCGACCAAGUUAUUUUUUGUUGUAAGAGAUACAUUUAACUAUUACCAUAUCCAUUUCCUAUGUUACACGGCCUCUAGUACCCAUGUCCCACGCAUAUUCGAAUAUAGAUAAGGAGGUAUGAUCCUCCAAAUUUAUGAAAAAAUUAUGAUUCUGAAAAGGUUGAGCAUAUCCGUGUGAGACAUACCCGCUUCCAGUUGGGGUAACAUUGAUCCUAUCCUCCUUGUUCCCUAUGCUUACAUUAUGCAUUUAGUGAACUAUGAUAGAAUAAGUGACUUGGAAUAACUCUUGGAUUCUUCAUUACCCAUACCUGACACAUGGAUAUAAGGAUAUGACCUCUAAUGAUCCUUUAAAUACAUGGACAAGCUAUUCAGAUACCCAUGCCAGAUACAUAUGCAGAUCAGACAUUCACACCAGAGUCCGAGUGACAGAGGGGACAGUUUAAUAUCAGGUUUAGGUUAAUAGUACAAAGGAUAGAAAAUAUAAUUGCACCUUUUUGUUUUCCUUCCCAAAAGACCAUGUUCCUUUUCAGAAGUAAGUUACAAAUCUGACAUUUUUUUUAUCAAUAUUUGUUAACUACAUUGGAAUCAAGAAAAAUGAGAAUAUGGCAUUUAUUUCUUAUCAAUCCUAAGCAUUUGGAUGGAAAGGAAAUUUUUGAAAAAUUGGCGCAAUAAUGCCCAAUAAUUAUUCUUAUUAUUAUCUCAUACUCUCAUGUGUAUAACAGAGGAAAUCAUUUCAUAUUGCUGAACAUUUUUGUUAAGGAUGAACGAUUAAUGACUCUUCUCAAAUAAGAAUAUUUUAUAAUAUGGGACUAAACUUCUUGCAUCUCUCUGUGCUUGUGUGAGUCUUAUUGUAUUUCUCUUUAUAUUGAGCUUAAUAUGUAUGUGAUGCUUAUAGGUUCUGCACGACUGGACUUCCUAGUGAUAUUGUUGUUGAAGUUGGAGAAAUGUCCUUUCAUCUUCACAAGGUAAUUUUGCCUCAUCAUAUUUAGUACUUUCUUAUUGAUGUGCCUGAGGAGUAAUGACCCUCUUGUACUUGUUGAAAUUCACUGAAUUUAAUAUGUUUAUCAAAUCUUGAUGCAUAUUUUAUCACCUUAUGCAAAAAUAAAGAUAGGAAAUCCUUGCCAUGUCCCACACCAUCUUUCUGAGACCUCAUAUAUCAGUUUCUCAUGAGUUGAGAUGGUACUUUUCCUAUGUUUUCAUGCUUUUCCUUUUAAGGAUCUAUAAUGCAAGUCCUUUAAAUGAACUUGUACCUGUUGUCACAUGCAUGUUAAAAUGAAGUGUCUAUUGUCAAAUAACUAGUGAUCUUUAAGUUCCUAAUUGUCUUAACUUUCCUUUGGUGCAGUUCCCUUUACUCUCUAGAAGUGGGGUUAUGGAAAGAUUAAUUGCAGAAGCAUCUGAAGAAGGUGAAGAAAAGUGUUCCAUAUGCCUCCCUGACAUUCCUGGAGGGGCCAAAACUUUUGAACUUGUCGCCAAGUUCUGCUAUGGUGUGAAACUUGAACUCACUGCCUCAAAUGUUGUGUACCUUCGAAGUGCUGCUGAGCAUUUAGAAAUGACCGAGGAAUAUGGGGAAGGCAAUCUUAUUACCAAGACUGAAACCUUCCUUAAUCAAGUAGUCCUCCGAAAUUGGAAAGACUCCCUGAGAGCACUUCAAACCUGUGAUGAUAUUAUCUCUUAUGACGAUGGACUGAACGUUACAAAAAGGUGCAUCGAAUCAUUAGCCAUGAAGGCAUCUACCGACCCAAACCUUUCUGGGUGGCCCAUAAUGGAAUAUGGUGGUCCUAUGCAGAGUCCUGGUGGAAGUGUGUUGUGGAAUGGGAUAAGUACAGGGGCUAGAGUAAAAAAUACAAGUUCAGAUUGGUGGUAUGAGGAUGCAUCAACUUUAAGUUUUCCUCGCUAUAAGAGAUUGAUUGCAGUCAUGGAAUCUCGUGGUAUCAGACAGGAGAUCAUUGCUGGGUCUCUUACUUUUUAUGCAAAAAAGUAUCUACCUGGUUUGAACAGGUGCCAGGGUGCUACUGAUACUAAUUCUAGUACCUGUGUGGCACCUGUGGCCUUAGAGGCUCCUCCGUCAGAAGAAGAUCAGAAACUUUUGCUGGAGGAGAUUGAUAGGUUGCUUCCUAUUCAGAAAGGCCUUGUCCCCACCAACUUUCUCUUUGGACUGCUUCAAACAGCCUUAAUUCUUCAAGUAAGCCCCUCCUAUAUAUCUAACUUUGAGAAAAGGAUUGGAAUGCAGCUUGAUCAAGCAACACUGGAAGAUCUCCUGAUACCUAAUUUCUCCUGUUCUAUGGAAACACUAUAUAAUGUUGACUGUGUGCAGCAAAUUCUUGAACAUUUUCUUGCAAUGGACCAGAUCACGGGUGGAGCCUCUCCAUCUUUGGUUGAUGAUGGUCAGAUUACCGCCUCGCCUUCAUUAACACCAGUUACACUGGUAGCCAAGCUAAUUGAUGGGUACCUUGCAGAGGUUGCCUCUGAUGUUAAUUUGAAGCUCCCCAAGUUUCAGGCUCUUGCUGCUUCUGUUCCUGACUACGCCAGGCACUUGGAUGAUGGUCUGUAUCGUGCAGUAGACAUUUAUCUGAAGGUACCGUCCCUACUGCACACAUUUGCUACUUAUGUUGUUUCUUCAGUUUGAUAUGCUGUAAAUAUAGCUGCAACUGGUUCACUAAUCCAGGACCCUUGUCACAACUCUACCCAAAUGCAUCAUUCCUAUGCUUUAACCUCAAUUCAUGUUGACCUUAGAUUAGGAUUCACACAUUUUAAAGAGACAUAAGUUGUCAAUGCAGGAUGUUUAUGUCCUUGGAUCAUUGUUGUCAAUGCAGGAUAUUUAUGUCCUUGGUUCAUUGUCUGGGUAUCUGGCAUUUUAACAUGAUUACCUAAGUUGCUUCUCUCAUCUGCUUGAAACAAAGUUAAUGGGCCCAAAAAGCCAAAUCUUAUAUGCAUGGGUUAUAGGAAGAAGUUUGAUGAGAAGGCAAACACCAUAAUUUUUGUUCAAACUUGUUAACUUUCCUAUGCUAAUCAAACUUGCAGUCACACCCAUGGUUGUCUGAAUCUGAGAAAGAACAACUAUGCCAGCUGAUGGACUGCCAGAAGCUCUCCUUGGAAGCAUGCACCCAUGCUGCACAGAAUGAGAGACUGCCACUAAGAAUAGUUGUCCAAAUCCUGUUCUUUGAGCAGCUUCAGCUUAGGACUUCAAUCACAGGUUGCCUUUUGGUUUCCGAUAAUCUUGAUGGAUCUCGACAAAGCGGGCUUGCAGGGCCCACGGAAAGAGGCUGGGCCUCAACCGCGAGAGAAAAUCAGGUUUUGAAAGUAGGCAUGGAUAACAUGAGAACACGGGUUUCUGAGCUUGAGAAGGAAUGCUCGAACAUGAAACAAGAAAUCGAAAGGCUAGGUCGGGUAAAGAGCUUCACUUGGGGAAAUGUCUCGAAGAGAUUUGGAUUCAAAUUGAAGUCUCGAAUGUGCAGUGCUCAGGAGGGUUCUAUUAGCAACCAGAAUACUGAAAGUAGAAAGAAUGAGAAAUUAAAAGACAGGCAAGGACAACACAAGAAAAACUCAACUCCAAAAUUCAGAUAGGUAAAACUAUUGAUUUUCUCGUCUUUGUUAUCCUAUUGUCUCAUUGUUUGUUAAGUUCUUAUUGUUUUGUACUUUUAAACUUUGCUAAACUAACGUCCCUCCUUUGAUCUCACUGUAAUGUGUGCCUUACCUUUUUCUUGCUCCUUAAUCGUGUAAUCGAGAUGAUUGAAGAAACUGUAAUUUAAUUUGUUUCAGAUUAUGUAGCAACAUUGGGAUUCUGAUUAGUGAUUGGAUUUUUUUUCAUUAUAUAACAACUAAAUAUAAGAUCUCCCAUUUUCACUGCUGGAAUAGAAAACAUUACAAAUACUGAUAAGUUCGAUUCCGGAGGAAGUUCAUAAGUUUCUAUCACCAGAAGUGGCUUUAAGAGUAUAAUAAUAAUUAUAUACACUGUUAUUCAAGAUGUGAACCUAGAGUUUAGCAACAUAAAACAUACUAAAGAUGUUACAUAUAACCCCUUCCUUGAUCUCCACUGGUAAUGCAUGCAAGAAAUAAAUUAAAAGCGUUAAUGAGCAAAUCGAUUUGGAACCCAAACGAGGCUCUCUCUCAUGAGGAAAUGGCAAAUGGGGACUGAUCCUGGUUUUACUUUAAGAAGCAGAAAAGCGAUGUGGUUUGGGUUCCAAGCUGAUGUAUCUCUAUGGCAAACAGCUAAAGCAUUAGCUUUUGUUCCAUGUUUUCCAACCAAAGGAACCCUAUACACUGCUGUUUUAUCAAGUGAAUGACAUAGAAACACGGCGUAGGGAUAUUUCAUCUUAUGGCAAACUAUAUCUUUUUCUCCCAUCAGUAUCGUUCCCUCGUUAGCAACACUAAAAUCCUGGUUUUCAGUUUCUUUUUCCACCUCACUUGACAGCACUUGAAUAUCGUUCCCGAAUUUCCUAACACUUAAAUCCACCAACGACUCUAACGACGCCGCACAGUACAUGUCUUCCCCUUCAAUGACCCGUCUCUCGCACAUUGCAAUCGUUCGAUUCAUUGCCUUAGCUUCCCUUGAUUCAGGUUUCAGCGAAAAGAGCUUCAAAAUCCCCGGAAACUCGUCACUCGAAAAGGGUAUUGACUCUGCAACUCGACGAGACAAGAACGGAACCUCAUUCCUUGCCUUAGCCUUACUGAAAUAUUCUAGUUUCACCUUCUUACCAGGGUAUAGAUCAUUUUCGAAGAAAUACAUAGUUAUGUUGGUUCGGGAAAUAAUACUCCCACGUCCAAAUCCCAUGCUUGGAUCAGCGUUUCCAUAGUCGCCAUCAUUGAUUGAAUCUUCCUUCCUCGUAACAACCCAAGGUUUGUUUCCUACAUGGGAUAUAAUAUAAUUUUUAUCUCAAGCUAAUAUAUUUGAUGUAUUUAUUACCGAUGAAAUCAAAUGCAAUUGAAUUAAUGAACCUGCUGCUGGGUGUAAAAGACGAUGUUUCAAGGCUUUUGGCAUUGGGGUGUGAGGGAACACUGAUUUCCAGUGAACCUCAGCUGGUAGAUCAGCUGAAGCAUGGCUAACCCCACAUAAUGCAAGCUGCCAAAGUGUUAGAAGAAUUGCCAUUAGUUUAAACUAAGUAUAAAAAAUAAAAUAAAACAAAAGCAAAAGGCAUUGAGAAAUGAAGAGCUAGCAAAAACUACUAGUAAACUUUCUCUACUUACUAUGAGUAAAAUGAAGAUGAAAAAGAAAUUGAACUCCAUCCUAACUUAUUAAUAAUAUGUUAAGGAGAAAUGAUAACAGUGAUAAUGUAAUGGAAACUUUAUAAAGGAAGCGGGCUGCUUUGUGAUGAAACCAAAGUUUGUGAAAUUCCCAAAGUGGAGGUUUGGAUCCCUUCCAAUCCUAGAUGAAGUCAACUGUUGUUUGUCUCAUUGCAUCAAUGCAUUCUCACUUUAAAUUCAAUUUUGAUUGAAUAAAAAUUGUUUUUAAAUUUUUAUUUGUAAAUUUAGUGAGAUUUAAACCUAUAAACAAUAUCAUUAAAUUUAUUUAUGAAUUUUUUAAUAGAUCGGUAGAUUGAACUGAAAAUAGGUUGACCCACUGCCGAUUUUAAUUCCCAUGUCCACGACACGCCAUUCAAUCCUGUUAAAUCAUUAAUUAAAUAAGUUACUUUUGUCCAUAGCCAAAGUCAACACUGUCGGCAAGUUACAACUUUUCUUGUGGCACAACUUUUAUAAUAACACCAUUUCAUUUAUCUUUAAAAAAAGAUCUUGUAAUAUGACAGCAUUUUAAUUCAUUUAUUAUUUACGAUCAAUUAGAAUUUUAAAAAAUUCAGAUUUUGAAUCCUGUAGAGUGGGCAUUUUUUUACCCAAUCGUUAAAUGGGUUGCUCUCAUUGGACUACAGAUGGCUCCAAUGGAUCUGUUGCGCAUAUAUAUCAAGGUUCAAGUAUUUUUUUGCCAAUGUUCAUUCAUCCAACUUUCUAGUAAAAUUAAUUUCUUGUCGACAAUGAUAUAUUUUCACCAUGUGAAAUCCAUUGUUAUUCAUCGGUAGGAUGAAAGAGAGUACAAGUUUGCAACACAUAUGUAACAUGGAAUGUCUUUCCUUAAUAUAUUUUUAUUACAAAGUAUUGUAGGAUAUUCGUCUUGGAAAUUUUAAAAAAAAUUAUUUGAUGCUUUUUUUUUAUUUUUUUUAGAACAAAAUUUAUUUGGCGCUUAUGCAGCACUUUAAGGUGACAUUUUGGUUACAACGCUGCGCAUAGUUCAUUUCCGAACCCAGGCGAGGGUAUCUCUAACAGCAAAAUGGCAAAUGGGGACAGUUCCUGGCUUAACUUUAAGAAUCUCAAAGACAGGGUGAUUGGGGCUCCAAGCGGAUGUAUCUUUGUGGCAAAUAACUAAAGCUUUGGCUUUUGUCCCAUCCAUGCCCACCAGUGGAACUUUAUACACCACUGUACUGUCGAUUGAAUGGCAUAAGAACACAGCAUAUGGAUAGCUCAUUUUGUGGCAAACAAGCUCCUCUUCCCCCAUAUUUUGUAUUCCCCUUCCGAUGGUAAACACUGGGUUAUUAGUUUCUUUCGCAAGCUCGUUGGCUAGUAACUGGAUAUUUUUCCCAAGCUUUGAAACACUGGAAUCAACAAACGACUCGAACGAAGUGGCACAAAAUAUUUCUUCUCCACGCAGCCCUUCUCUUUCACAAACAUUAAUUGUUUGUUCCAUAUCAUUGGCUUCCAUUGAUUCGGGAUCCAGGGAGAAGAGAUUUAGAAUUUGAGGAAACUCGUUAUACGAAAAGGGUAUUGACCGAGCAACUUGUUGAGGCAAGAAGGUAGUCAAGUCCCACGUCUUGGCGAGUAGUGGUAAAUUCACCCUCUUACCAGGGUGCAGAUCCUCUUGGAAGAAGAACAUUGUUCCAUUUAUUGCAGCGCUCCCAUGUUUCUUGUUUCCUACAUAUGGUUUGCAAAGAGGUGAAAAUCAUGUUGGACUCAUUCAGUUGCAUCAAUUUACUAACUAGUUUAGAGAUAUUGAAUUCAAUUUUAAAACUGUUGGCUUAAACCAUAAUUUAUGGUGACGAUUUAUUAAGAAGAAGAUGAUGGAAAACAUGAAAAUAAUAUAUGCCAUGGAUUACAAACUGUUGGGUUUCAUAAAUAUAAACAUUUUAAAGAGUUUAUACCUUUAGAUUUCUCCCCAUAAAUUGUGAAGGGAGUGAUCCUUUGUUUUGAGCUCCUUGCUUGAACCUGUUAUUCACUUGAAACAACUUGAUUUAUUUUUUCCAACAAAAUAAUUUAUAUAUAACUUAUAUAAAGUUUAUAUGUGAAAAAAAAGAGUGAUAAAAUUGAAGCAUAGUCAAUUUUUCAAUCUUUUCUUUUCACUAAGAAAUGGGAUAAUGAAAAUAAAUCCACUAAAAUUAUUUUAUUUUUAUCCCGAAAUCUCCAACUUUACUAUUUAUUGUCAUUCAAGAUUUUACAUGAUGUAAGUGAACUUUUCAUAAAGAAAAUAUUUUAAAGAGUUUAUACCUUUAGAUUCUUUUCCAUAAAUGAUAAAGGGGUUAAUAGGAGCAUUCACGCCUUUUGAUUUUUUAUUUGUGCCAUCCUUAUUUUUGAGUUCCUUCCUUGAAGCUUCUGUUCAAAUAAAACAACUUAAUUUAAUUAUAGGUAGUAUUAGUUUCUCAAUUUUAUUUUUCUUCUCACUAAGCAAUGGAAUAGUAAAAACAAAUCAACCAAAAUUAUCAUUAAGCUUUUAAAUGAUGUGUCACUUGAACAUACUGUCAUAACUUUUAAACUAUUUUCACAAAAAAAAAAUACUUUUUAAAAUCUAUACCUUUUGAUUUUUUUCCGUAAAUUAUGAAAGGAUUGAUAGGAGCAUUCACGCCUUUAGGUUGUCUUUUUGUAUUCGUGUUCUCGUAAAUUAUGAAAGGGUUGAUAGGCGCAUCUUUAUCUUUGAACUCCUUGCUUGAAUCUCCUACUCACAUGAAACAACUUAAUUAAAUGUAUACCUCAUAAUGUAUUUAUGCACAUUUGCUUUAAAAAAUAAUAUAAAAAGGAAUUGGGAAUAAAGAAUCUAUACUUAUAAAGUUACAUAUAUUUUAUAUUUGAUGCGUUAAUAAUGUAUAUAUAAAUGGUAAGUGAAAUAGAUUUCAAUUCAUUAAAAAUGAAAAAAAAAAACAGUAAGAAUUUAAAAAAAAUUAAUUAGGUAAAGGGACAAAAAAUGGAGGAUUCAUUUUCAUAAAAAAAAAAUAUUAUGCCCAUUAACUCAACACAAUAAAUUUUGAAAUUAUGAAAAAGAAUUUAUAUUUAUAAAUCAAUAAAUAUUAGUUUUUAAAUUUUUAUUUUUAUAUAAAUCUUAAAAAAUAUAUACACAUAAUGAAAUUUGAGCUUAAGAUGUAAUAAUAUUCACUAUCUCAACUUUACAAUUCCAAUUAUAGUCAAUUUUAUAUAAUCUUUCUCUAAAUUUGUUACAUAUUUUUUUCUCUAAUAUCGUGAGUGUGUCAUAAUCUAGUAUAAACUUAUUAACAUAGAAUUAGGUUUUCCAUGUUUUGUGAGAGUAGUUAUGAAUUUUACAUUAUUUGAACUUGUAUGAAAUUUUUUUUUUAAGACGAAAUUGUCAGAUUGAGUAAGUAAAAAUAAACAAUAUUUUGCAAGUGGAAAUAGAUAGGAGUUGUUGAAACAUUUACCAUAAUCAUUAUCGAGAAGUAAUUAAUUAUGAAGAAAUGGAAUCGAAAACAAACCGGCAGGUGGUGGUAAAAUGUCUUUCAAAGCUUUGGGCAUGGGAGUGUUUGGAAACACAGAUAUCCAGUGAUCUUCCUCUGGCAACGUACCAUGCUUUCCUGCAAAGGCAAGCUGGAAUAUGGAAACCCAACAAUGUUUAAUUAAUGAACAAAAACCAUCACCCUUCACUUACAUGUGCUAACAUGCAAAUGAUUAUAGCUAUAGAUAAAGAAAUAAUUAAGGGGUCAAUUAAUUAGCGAAGGAUGCUAUUUUACGACUUACGUUAAGUAAAGAGAAAAUGAGAAGGAAAUGAAGAGUUGCCAUGAAAUGAAAUGAAAGCAUGGAUCCAACUGCAUAAGCAUCAUCAUCAUAUAUAGUUAACAAUCAUUGGAGUUUCCUCCCAUUCUUCCCAUAUAUUUCUAUGUAGAUACUAUUAAUUUUUUAUGGAUCUGAUGGAUCUGACUUCAACAAUAUUACUGUUUAAGUUUUGUUUUAAUUUUUAAUGAACCUAUCUACCUUUUACUCGGAGGCAUUGUUUUUACGUAAGUUAUGGUUUUCAGGUUGCCGAUCCUUUGACUUGGCAUUCGAUGCAAACAAAGCUAGUUUUUUUUUACGUAUUUGAUAAGCUAACCUUGGUUUUCAUGUUUUGUCUUAGGCAAGAUUAUUACGUUGCAAUUAAUGCAGCGGCUCAAAACAAGGUUAUAAUAUAAUGCAAGUGAUUUUGUAUUUUGACAUCCACGAAGUUUAAAGUGAUGCUAAAUUACUACAUAGAAAAAUUCAUUUCGACCCUCAAGUUUAAAAUAUUUAACUAAAAUAGCAAAGGUAUUCUAAACAUAACUUUUUAGGCAAACGCAUUUUUAAAAAAUAACUAUAACUUUUAUAGCAAUAACCCUAACAAGUAGCUUGUUUAUUAAAAUUAUAUUUUAAUCCUUUAAAACAAUAUUCUAUUAACAAUUUAACAUUUCUCAAGGGAUGGGUAUAUCAAGAUUUGGAUCUUGAUUUUUUUUUGACAAUUUGCAACGCCCAUAAUUGUGGCUUUGCGGACAACCAAUGUGAAAAGUAUGUAUAAAAAAGCUAUGACAGACUACAAAAAGUUUAAAUAGCAUAACUCUUUUCUUUUCUUUUCUUUUUAUUUGGAUUAAGGUAAGGAGAAGAAAACAAAAUUAAAGAAGGGAGAAAAGACAACAUUUUCAUUAUUUUUUAAAAUAUAAUGUUUUUUUAUAUUAUGCACAUCCGUUUUAUAAUCUAUUUUCAGGGUUUGUAGUUGCCUUUUCAACAAUGUUAUCUCUAGAAUUCAAACUUACAUUUUAUCCUUAAGAGUGUAAUCCGACUUACCAUUAUACCUAACUAAUAUUCCACAACAAUCUAGAUAAUUUCUAUAGGUGAAAUUCAUAUAUGAGACUAGACGUAGGGAUUGGCAACUGUAUGAAAAGUAGGGUAGGAGGGAGGUGCUAAUAUUUGUGUCUUUGUAUUGGUAUUGUGUUCGUAAUACUAGAGAUUCAUAUUUGGACAGAAUUAUUUGAGGUUUGUUUUUGCUGAUUAUGAUAUGUUUUCAGAUCCUAUGAAUCAUUUAUUAUUAUUUAUGUAAACUAGAUUUAGUUGAUGGUUUUACUUUUCAAAUGUUGCAGUACACUCUAAAAUCAUAAUUUUAAAAUAAAAAUAAUUAAGUAGUGUAUUUGUUAUCUAUUUUUAGGUUAAUUUACCUUCUACAUAUACUCAUCAUAAAUUAAUUUGUACUUAAUUCGUUGCAAUGCUAAGAUUGCUUCAUCUAUGCUGAUUUGUGUGUUUCUCUAUGAAUUAUGAAUAGCCAUAUCAAAAUGCAUAGACACUUGACAAAUUAUCAAACACUAAUAAAAGAAAUGUUGCGAAAUGACUAUCCAUACGAACUGCGAGCUCACCAAAUAUGCAAGCUCUACAAAACUGUGAGCUCAUUAAACCUAUGAGCUCUUCACUUUGCAAGUUGUCAACUUGUACUAAAACUGUGAUAAAUUUAGAUUAGACAUUUUGAUAGGUAAUUACACAGAAACCAACCAAUAAAAAAAAGUUAUAUGAAUCUAAUCAUUGAAUUAAAUCAAGUUGUAAUUAUUUUAUUAUUAUUUUCAACUUAUUUAAGGUUUAUGAUUUAUAUAAUCUUAGUAUCAACCUUUCAUGUUAAUAAAACAAUAGUUAAUCCUAUUUUCACUCAAUUUUUUAUUUGCUUUUGUUUUUCAUUCAAUCCUUCAUCAAAUAUCCAAGCAGAGAUGAAAUAUCCAAUACAUGCUUUAUAUAUACAUACACACACUCUUCAACUAGGCUUAUUUUAUAAGGCCCGCAGGUUCCUAGUUGAUGAGUUCAAACCCAUUUAAUGUGAUUCCAUAACCUUCAUUAUAACGUGUUUUGGUGAUAAUUAGGAAUUUUGGUUGGGAAUCCAAACAAGGGCGUCUCUUGAUAGAACAUGGCAGAUACGGAACAGUUCCUCGCUUUAACUUUGAGAGUCUCAAAAGCCAAGUGUUCAAGGCUCCAUGUAACAAUUCGUUUUUUAGUGGUGUCGAAAAUAGUAGUUUUGGAGCCACCAAAUCGAUAAGUAAGUCCGUAAAUAUUAUUAUUUAACAUGUACGAGUCAAAUGUGAUUUUUAAAAAAGUUUUUAAUUUGAUAAUUUAUGUUAUAUAAGUGAUUUAUUAAGUUCAAGAGGUUUUAGGAAAUAUAUAAACUAAGCCGUAAAUAUUUUUAUAAAUAUCUACAGAGUGUCAUUAAGGUGGUAUUAAAGUUUUUAAGAAAUUUAAACGUUUUGAUGGUUAAUUAAUUAAAAAGGAUCAAAUUAAAAAAAGUGUAUUUCCGGGACUCCGUUCCCAUAAAUCGGACUCGUAAAUAUUUUUACGAAGCUAAUUGUGUAGUUAAUUAGGUUUUGAUUAAGUGAAUUUUCUUGAAUUAAAUGUAAUUAGAUAUAAGGACUAAAUUGCAUAUAGAGUGAAAGUUCAAUUAUAGAUUAAAAAAAUUAAAGAAAUUAAAGAAGAAAUUAUGUCAUUGUACUCUUUAAUGAGAACGCAUAAGGUAAGAUAUUAAGUAUAUAUUAUAUUAUAAUUAUAUUAUAAUAAAACAAAAUAAAUAAAGAAUAAAUAAGAAAAGAAAGAUAGAUAGAAACUAAACAAAAAUAAAAAGAAAGAACGAAAGAAAGAAAAGAAAAAGGAAAGAAAGUAAGGAGAAAGCCACGGACUUAGGGGCUUCAAUUAUUUAAAGUUCAAUUUCUAACGUCGUACCGGAAUCCUCGACUAAAAAUUGGAAAGAUAAAGUUAACGAGGAAUAGCUCGGAAUUUCUGAUUUGUAUUUCUAUAUUCCGAAUUUAGUUGUUAAUUGUUAUUAUUCAAUUUAAUGUAUAUGGUAAGUGUUGAGGUGAGAAUUAUUGAGUUUUGCAAUUGAAAUGGAUUGAUUUAGUAUGUGACGAAUUUAUUGAAUUUACAUUGAUUGAAUUGGUAUAUAUAUUGAAUAUAUUGAUUAUUUGAAUUGAAAUAAAUAUUGGUUUUAUUUGAAAAGUGAAUUGAAACCCUAUUAAUUGUAUCGGGCUGAGUCGGAUAUAGAUGGCAUGCCAUAGGAUUGGAAGGGUUAAGGGAUUUCUUCGACUUUGAGUCGAUGAGACACUGGGUGUCAAUCUACUACUUCGGAUUAAUUCGAUGAGGCACUGGAUGUCAAUUUACUUCGGUUUAGUCGAUGAGACACUGGGUGUUAAUUUAUUACUUCAAAUUAUUCAAUGAAGCACUGGGUACCAAACUGGUGUGUUUUGGUUGGAUCCGUGUAUCCGUCUGAAUCCGAGUCGUGUUAAUAAGGGUAAAUGAAUAAUAAAAUUUUAUAAUUGAUAUUGAAAUAAUAUGGUAUGAGAAAUGGAAGUGAAAUAGUGUAUUGAAAAUAGAAUGUGAAAUAUGUUGCAAAUAUAUGGAAUAUAUGAGUUAUAUACUCAUGAAAUAACUAUGGAAUGGAUAUUGCAAUUGUAUAAUGAAAUGUGAAAUAAAUUGUGAAAAGCUAUUUAUAUAGCAAGUAUGAGAAUUAAGAUAUUUGUGAAAUAAAUGGAAUAUGAUAUGGUUGUUGUAAUAAUUUAAUAUUAAUAUGUGUUUAUAUUUCAGUUGUAUAUUUAUAAUUUCUUAUAUUUAAAUAUCCGGAUUAUAGAAAUACCACUGAGUUUAUACUUAACGUACGGUUUUGUUUCUCGAGCGCAAGUUAAGUAAUUAACUUUUAAUCGCUGAUUCAGCAUCCAACAACGAUCCCGAACUCAAACGUGGUGAUGUUUAUCCUUUUUGUCGGCAUGUACCUAGGGUAUCUAAAUAAUAGUUAUUUUGUGGUUUGAUUGUAAAUGAGAUUAUAAGUUUAAUUUUGGUUGGUUUUAUACAUAUAAAUAUGUGUUUGUUUUUGAAGUCAUAUUAUAGCAUGAUAAAUUGAACUAAAUCUAGAUAGGUACAUGUGAAUUUAAUUCUAUAUUUAAGUGCUCAUGAAUUAGGCAAUUUGAUUUGAAUUUGGUAUGUUUAUAAUUUGGAUUAAAAUGAUGCUUUGAUGACUUGUUUUGAUAACAUGAAAAUUUGAAAUUUCUAUUUGUUUAAUCUGUAAACUCCGCUAAUGUUCCGUAACCCGAUUCUGACAAGGGAUACGAGUUGGAGGUGUUACACUCCAAGCUGAACUAUCUUCGUGACAAAUAGCCAAUAUUGUAGCCCUUGUACCAUCUGCCCCAACUAAUGGAACCCUAUACACGUCUGUUUUAGCAAUUGAGUGGCAGAAGACACAGCAUAUGCAUAAUCCAUUUUGUGGCAAACAAUCUCCGAUUUUCCCAUCAAUUUCACCCCCUGAUCACCAAUACUAAACUCUGGGUUUUGCGUUUCUUUCUCCAACUCAGCUGACAAAAGCUGGAUGUCUUUCCCCAGCUUAGAAACACCGAAAUCCACGAAAGACUCCAAUGAUGUAGCGCAAAACUUCUCUUCUCCUUCAAUGGUUGGUGUUUCACAAUCCUCGAUUGUUUUUUUGAGUAUUUUGGAUUCUGCAGAUCUUGGUUGCACCGAGAAAUAUUUCAAGACUUGCGCAAACUUUUUAGUUGAAAAGGGAAUUGAGUCCGCAACUGGACGCGGUAAGAAAGCAGUUUUGCUGGCUUUACUGGUUAGCACCUUUAAGUUCAUCUUAGUACCAGGUCGAAGCUUACUCUCAAAAAAGAAAACGUCCUUAUUGGUUGCCAUAUUUCCAUCUCCAAACUCUUGCUUUGAAUUGCCUGCUGCGUUUUCAUAUAUCCUAUAAGCUGUGACGUAUCGUGGGAUUAAUAUUCCUUUAUACCUUUUGAUCAUAUUAGCCAAAGCAGCUUUCAUGUGAUUUCCUACAUCUCAUUUGCAGAGAGAUAUCUAGAGCAUUAGAAGACUUACCUGAAUUAUAUAUGUCUACUCAAUCAUUGGGGAAAAGAAAAGAAAAUUGCAAACAAACCAGCAGCAGCAGGGGGGAUUAAAAGAUUUUGCAAGGCUUUGGGCAUUGGAGUGUUUGGAAACACAGACGUCCAGUACAUCUCUGCUGGUAGAGCAACAUGUCUCGUUGCUCCAACAGCAAGCUGCAUCGAAAUUAAUUAAUUAAAUGCCCAUUUGCCUUGUAUCCAAAAUAAAAUUAUUAAGCUCUAAAUAUUUAUACAGAAGUUAGUACUCACAACAAGCGCCAUAGCGAAGAUUGGAACAUAACGAAAUUCCAUUGAUAGAAAAGCUAGAAAAAAGAAAAAAGGAAUGCAAUUGAAACUUAGAGUUGGACAUGCUGUUUAAGUAUUUAGGCAGCUGCUUUAUUUGUACUUGUAAAACAGCAGCGCCGGCUGUUUAUGUAUACUUAUAGUGGAAUGCGUAUAUGCACUUGUGAGCAAAGGUUAAAGCAGUAUUAUUGGGAUUUUAACUGCCUAUGUUGUAAUUGUUGCAUUACAUAUUUCAACAUCAUUUGGUAUUUUUUAUAGAAUAAACUUUAAUUGUAAUUACGGACUUUAGGUGAGUGUUCAUUGUUGUAAAGUUAGGUUGACUUUAGCCAAUAAUUGAUUCAAAUAAGUUGAUGAAUAAAAUCACUUGCUAAUGAGGGUCCAUAAAAUUAACAAAUCUGAACUAUAUCAACAAAUAUUUUAAGUUGAUUUUUCUCUUUGCUUCACUCUUUUUUUUUGAAUUUGUUAAUUAUACUCUCUUGUUUCAAUUUGUGUUACAGCAUUAGUUGAAAUAAUUUAUUUGAACAUCUACCACAAAAAAAAACCAAUUAAUUAAUAUUGUUUAUAUUUAUUGCAAGAGAUAACCAAUUAACAUAAAAAUUAUGAUAUUGUGUCGUAAAAAAAACCCCAUGAAACUACAAGAGACAGAAAUCAAAACAAAACCACGUGUCCAUUUUCAAGUUUCGUACCAUUUAUUUGUUCAGCUGCAUGGAGAUAUUUUGGUCCAAUAAUUGUUCGCAGUGCAGUAAUUUCAACGUCGACUCUCAUAAUAUUUCAUGGUAGACAUGGUGGCCAGCUAAGAAUGUUGAUGUUACCUUAGACGCCGUGGUUUUGGAUUGCAAUGUAUUAUUCAUCUUUUUACCGUUAGUGUUGUCCUUGUCGAGGGUGUGGCCGACAAUGGGAAAAAAUUAGCCGAAAUUAGGCCUUUUGAAGUGAUGAUUUUGGUUCUCCAGCAGUGCACUGACGUGUGAAGCUUUACCUCUCUCGUUUACGGUCAAAUUUGGCUUAAUUUUGAAUUCAGUGGGGGAUACGAAGAGAAACAGAAGAAACCAAAAAGAGAAUCACAAUAGGGGACGGACACUUUGAAAAAUGAAAAUUCAGCCAUGAAGACAAACAUCAAAGAAAAGUAAGGAGGAGUAGGUAAGGCAAGGAAAUAGCAUUCCAGUCCACAACCAAAGCAGCCUAUGAUCAAUAUCUGUUAGUAUUCAUGAGUGACAAACAAGGCGGCCGGGGGUCCUGAAAUCCAGUUGUAAGAUUACAGCCAGCCUUCAGCUGCACCACAAAAGCAGUCUAGAUCAGCUUCAAACGCAGCACUCAUCUCCACCACCUCCUAAGCUUACCACACCCCAAGGAUUACAGCUCUUGUCCAUAUUUAGACAUUAAGACAAGAUGCAAUUUACAUUUAGAAUAGAAUGAAAGACAGACUCACCAUCUCAAAAUUCAUCUUUAAUAAUGUUUUGCAAUUGCAUCAAACUUUGAACCUAUGAAAUCUGUUUUCAGCAUAAAAUUAAAUGGAUGAAAGCCACUGGUACAUCUUCUUCAGGCACUAGCUGGACAUACAGUAUCACGUCCACGUCUAUGUCGUCCAUUAUCCCAGUUUCAAGAUUCCAUUUGUUCAGCUUGGGGUAAAAUUUGAAGGACUGGCGGCCGCAUCAUGAUAUUUUGCUCCAAUAAUUGUUUGCAGUAAUUUUGACAAAUCUCAUAUAUAAUAUUUAUUUAGAAAGAAAAACUGUUAAAAAUGCCUCAAUAACGGGUGGACACAGUUAUGUGAUUGUUAGUGUCUGAUUUUGGGUCUAAUCUAGAACCAUUGUAUUGUAGAUAGGUUUUUGGGUCUUCAGUUGUGAUUUGUGAAGCACCGAAGUCUUCUAUCUUCCUUUAUGUAGUUAGUUUGUAAGCAUAGAUUAUCCGAUUUAAAAAAAGAAAAAAGAAAAAAAAGGGGGGGGAGGGAGAAAUUUCUAAAUUUUAGAAUUUUAAUUCAAUGAUAAUAAAAUAUUUCAUCUUCCUAUAUUAUAUUGUUUUGGUUUUUUUAAUGAUUUUAAAAAAAUAUAAACACAGUUGAGAUUGGUUUCAGCAUUUGAUAUUAUGAAUAUAAGACAUUGAAUACGAGUUGUGGGAAUUGAACUGACAUCGCCAAUCAUUCAGAUUUUCGUACGUAUCCCACUUGUUUUUUGGGCCAAUACUGUUUUAAUAUUUAUAAUAUUAUACAAACGGACAUCUUUAUUCUGUCCUCCGUAUUUUCUUGCUUUUUCUUUUUAAACUAUGAUUCUACUCUCUAUUAUUAUAUGGUAUUGCCUGAGUGGGGUUUUGUACUACCUGUGUGAUUGAUUUUUUCCAAAAAGGUGUGCUUGGUUUUAUGCUUGUAAUAAAACCAAAAAUAUUUUAAAUUUUAGGUAGAGAUAAUUAGGGGUAAUUAGGUGUAACAGCUCGUUUUCAGUGAAAUCAGAAUAGAGAUUUUGGGACUACAAAUUUGAGGCCGGAAGAAAUUUUAUUUUAAUAUUAUUUUAUGGUCUACAGUAUGAUAGAAAUAUCAUAUAAAAAUUUUGAUAAGAAAUUUUACCGAUUACAUGUUUAAUUUGAUGAAAAAGACCAAAUUGCACAAAGUGCAAAAGUUGAAUUCUAGUAGCUAAAGGUACCAAAUAGCUAUGGAAUUCAAAUUUGGAGGUCCUUAUAUGGCAAAUAGACCAUUUAGAGGAGUUAGUAGAUAAGGAUGAUUAUUCAUCAUUGAAAAAUUUAAUAAAGAAAGGGUUAAAUUGGAAAGAUGAUAAAAUAAAAGAUGAUAAAUGAAUUAAAUAAUAAAAUAGCAUCAUUUUCAUCAUCUUUCCUAAAAAUAAAACAUGGAAACCCUAGCUAUGAGAGCAUGAAGUUAGCAAGCUUAUUUUGCUUAAUUAGAUGAGUAUUCUUGUCCCAUUCUUAAUGAUUUUUAUGUUUCCGAGAUUGUAAUAGUUUAAUCUAGCUAUCUCGGGGAUUAAUUCGCAAAACUAUUGAAGUAUUAGGGUUUUGCCAUGGAUGAAUAUAGUUGAAUUAUGAUGUUUUAUAGUCGAAAAUGAAAGGUUGUUGAUAAAUAAACAACUUUUGUAAAGAGAAUUUUGAUGAAAUUAUGAUUUAGGGACUAAAUUGUAAAGAUGAAGAAUUCAUGGACAAAUUCUAAAUUUUAUUAAAUACACGGUCUUCUAUUGUGAUGUAUGAAAAUUGGCUAGGCUUGGAAUAAGGAUUAAAUUGUAUGAAUUUUAUUUUCCGAGCCUAGGACAAAACUAUAAUUAAUUAAAAGUAUAGGGGCAAAAUAGUAAUUUUGCCAAAGAUAUGUAUUGGACUGAAUUGAAUGUGAAUUGUAUUAAAUUGAGCUAAAUUCCUUCGUAUAUAUCCGGAUAUACCUGGUACGGAAUUGGAUAGAGGAAAAGAAAAAGUAUCAGAUUAGUAGCUUACAAUCCACGAACACUUGUCGAGGUAAGUUCAUGUAACUAAAUUGUAUGUUUAUAUUUUUAGAUUGAAUAUUAUGAUUGUGAAAUGUAUGAUUGUCAUGUAUUAACAUUGAUCACAUAUCCAAAAAAUAUCUGACAAGUACUAAGUCUCGUUUGAACCUAAGAAAUUCGAUGGAUACAAAUGACAUUGUCAUUAAGGGUUCCCGAAUUGGUUGUGGUCCUGCAUGUGUUGCGGACACACCAUCGCUCUUAUGAGCGUCCCAAUUCUUGGCUCUCAUGAGCUUCCCGUUAUUUAGCUCUUAUGAGCAUAUCGAUAUAUGGCUCUCAUAAGCUUCUCGAUUAGUGGCUCUUCGGAGCUUCCCAAUAUUGGUUUGCAUGAGCUUCCCAAAUUUAGCUCUCUUGAGCUUCCCAAUUAUGGCUCGUAUGAGCUUCCGGAUAAUUGGCUCGCAAAAGCUUCUCGUUACAUGGCUCACAUGAGCUUUCCGAUUACAUGCUCGCAUGGGCAUACCUGAAUAUGAAUUGACGGAUUACAAUUUGUACACUUCGGGUGUACUACCCGUGUAUCCAACGAUUUUUAAAUGGUUCAAUGAGCAAUGUUCUGUUAUAAGAAAAUGUGAAUCCAAUACGAACUGUUAUCAGUAUAUACAUGAAAUUACAUGAAAAUGAGAUUACAUGAUAUGUUGAAAAAUUAGAUGGAUGAUACAUGUAUGGAACUUGCUUGGUGACUAUGUUCAACCAUGUUUAUGGGUUAUUAUAUGUGUUUACAUGGCUAACAUGAUAAGGAUAUGUGUUUAGGCUUUUGGCCAAGUUGAUUUGGAUAUUUCUUGUAUGCUUACCUUAAAUGUUAUUAAAUGGUAAGUUAAUUUCUAUGUUAUACGAACUUACUAAGCAUUAAAUGAUUACUCUAGUUUAUUUCUCCUAUUUUAUAGUAACUCGGAAGCUCGUUAAGGUUAGAAGCUGGUUGGAGCCACAUCACACUAUCCAUCGGCCUUUUCGGUAUAUAUAGCAAACUAAUUUUGGUUAUAAUGGCAUGUAUAGGUUAAUUUGGCCAAAUGUUGGCAUGCAAAUGUCUUGUUGUGGUUAGCCAUUUGAAUGGCUUGUGCUUGAUAUAUUUUGAUAUGUAAGUAUAUGGCCUUAUCAUGAUUAAUGUGUGUUUUGAUAUGGUUGAAUGAUGGAUAAUUUAUAGGUAUGUUGAUGAUUGGGUUGAGCUAGUAUGUUUGAUAUAAAUAAGUAUACAUGUGAUUUUGGUCAAUUUGGUAAGUUGGAUAAUAAGGUAUAAGUAGAGAUAUGUUAAGAAUAAAACUUGAUUUAGGCUUGACUUGGGUGCUUUAUUAUGGUAUAUUGAUGUCCAAAAAUGUUUGAUUAGUUGAUGGCAAAUUUGGGGUGAGAAAUGUGGCUUGGAAAUGGCCUAUUUUCUUCUACACGGGCAGAGACACAGGCAUGUGUCUUAGCCGUGUGUGACACACAGCCAGGUGACACUGCCGUGUGUCCCUUGUAUUUUCACAUUUUGCAUAAGUCAGUAUACUUAGUAUUGUUCACACGGCCUAACACUUGGGCGUGUGGUUUGGUUGUGUGCCCCCUGCAUCUUUUAAAUUUCAAAACAAAAUACUCAAAUUGUUCACACGGCCUAGCACACGAGCAUGUGGCUUGCCCGUGUGACCUUUGCACCUUAUUAAUGCAAGUCAGUAUGCUCAUACGGCCUAGCACACAGGGGUGUGGCUUGGCCGUGUAACCUAAGUCAGAGAGCUCCUAAGUUUGGUCAUGGGCUAGGACACGGCCGUGUGUCCCUAAUUUGAAUGCCCACACGGCUUGAGACACGGGCAUGUCUCUUGACCGUGUGAGACACACGGGCGUGUGUCCCCUGCGCCCUUGAAAAUUUGUAAUGUUUCCUGAAAAAUUUUCUGAGCACCUGGUUUAGUCCCGACUUAUUUCUAACAUGUAUUUUGGGCAUCGAAGACUUACAUAAGGGACAAUAUGAUGGAUUUAGAUUAGUUUAUGAUAUGAACACUAUAUGACAUGAAAUGUCUGUUAUUUGUUCUGUAAACUCUGGUAAUACUACGUAACCCUGUUUCAGCGACGGAUACGAUUUAGGGGUGUUACAGUAGUUAUUUUUAUUUUUUUUAAAAAUUUCACAAUUAAUUAAAAUAUAAAUACAAAUAUAAGUUCAAACAACCACAAAAUGUAAAAUUAAAUUAUUACCGCACAAGCAUAUAAAUAAAUUAAAAAGUGAAAUAGUUUGAACUAAAAUGACUAACUAAAUUAAAACUCAUGUAUGACAAUCAGUCAUGGUCAAUUUCAAACCUAGAUACUCAAAAUCAAAAGUCUAUGUCUUUACCAAUUAUGCAAAGCUUUCAUUAGCUUAAAUUUAAAAAUUUAUUAUUAUUAAACCCAAGUUCUAAAUAUAAACUAGUCUGAUAAUCAUAUUUAUCAUUCCUAAAAAUAAAAGAAUUAUUUUAAAAGACUUAAUAUUAUUAAAUAUUUUAUGAAUAAAUUUAUAUAUAAUAAUAUAUUUUAUUAUUGAUUAAAUUUGGGUGUUUACUAUAAGAUACAUGGAAAAUUAGAUUUUAUUAUAGGAUGGAUGGAUUUGUUGUAUAUUUUAAUUAAAUUGCUUUUAUUUAUUUUAAAAUUUUUAUCAUAUUUUAAAGAUAAUAUGAUUAAUGUUAUGAAAUCAGUAAUACAAACGACAAGGUAUAGGAGAACACAAGAGAAAGAACAUAUUUUUAUUUUAAGUAUAAAUGAAAUAAAACCCUAGUCUUAAAGAUAUAUCAAACUUAUCAUCCGCAUAUAACAUGCUGGUCAAUCAAUCAUCUCACUCCAUCCAGAGAUCAUAGAUGGCAGACCUGGGACUCUAGUCAUUGAAUCCUUCGUGGUGGAUGUGCCCGAGGGAAACACAAAGGAUGAGACAUGCUACUUUGUUGAAGCUUUGAUCAAGUGCAAUCUCAAAUCUCUUGCAAAAGUUUCAGAAGGGCUAGCAGUGCAGGACCGGACAAAACCCAUUGAUCUUUGAAAGUCAGGGAGCUGACAGUUAUAAGGUGGUGGCCAUAGUUGCCAUGGAUGAAGCUUCGGGGCUUUCGUAUCUUCGGAGGCUUGAGAGAUGGACUGGCAAUUGUUGGUCUUCCAUCUGCUAGAUACAUUCACACUGCAUUCCAUCCAUUUGUUAUUGGUCUCUCCUUUGAUUUUAACAUUAUGUGCUGGAUUCCCUUUCUCUACUUGGUCAAAAACCACAAAUAUUAUAAAAGUUUCUUCAGUCGAACAAAAAGGGGAGUGGUUGCAGUUCAGCAGAACCAAAAUUUUGUUAUUUUGGGUAUAUAAUGGAUCGUCUAUAAUUGAGUUCAAAAGAGUUGGUUUUGGGGGGGGUUUGUCAUGAGGGUUGUAGCUUUUAGUUGCGGAUUUGGUCGAAGUUUAGAGGAAAAUGCUAUCGAUACAGACAGUUUAUUUGCUUCCUGCAGGCAUUCCCGUUGUGUCAUAAAAUGGCGUAAGAUCACUCUCUUUAAUGCUGUCCCUGCAUCUCGGCUUUAGGGUGAACAGAGGCGAUCAACUAGACAUAUGAAGCUCGUAAGUUAUUUGGAUUCGGUUUCACAAGAAUUGAAUUGGCUGCGUUCAUUUUUAUUUUUGAAAGGACAAGGAUAAACGUUUAUUAAUGAAUGAAAGCCCCAAGGUUACUAUGAGAUAAAUUAUUGUAUCACCAAAGCGACUAAACACAUAGACAUAGCAAUACUGACCAAACUAAGCGGCGGUUUUGCUAGCAGGUUUGCAUCUGUAUUAUUGAUUUGGCAUUUUUAUCUUGAUUUUGAUGAUAUCAACUUAAUAAUAAAAUAUUCAUAACAUUAUUCUUUAGAUGUCCAUUAUGGAAAAAAAAAAUCCUAAUCAAGGAAGAAAAAUAUACAUACCUAUAAUAUGUAUAACAUAUUGUCUCAUUAAAAACUAUAUUAGGAAAUCUCGAUUAAUUAUAUAUAAAUUCAAAUCAAUUCAUAUAAAUAUUUAUACAACUAUAUUGAAUAAUUUCUCAAGAAUUUUUGUAUGCUUCCAGCAUUCUAAAUCCUUCAAGUAUUUUAAUAUAAACUUCUACUAUAAAGUGAUUCAUAUAGAAAUUUAUAACAAAAGUUAUUAGACGCAUAUCAAAUCUUUCAUGAAGUGCCAAACUAAUAAUAUACUAAGGUUUAUAAUUUUGAAAAAAAUAUAUUUUCUCUUCUAUUUUCUAUUAUUAUUUAAAAAUUUUCACUUCACCAAACAAUGAAUCCGAAAGCAAAUUUGAUGUACCAAAACUAAACAUAUAUGAAAUAGAGCAUACUACAAUAAGUAACAUGUCAAGUACUGGAUUUGGAAAGCUUCAAUAGAAAGGAAGCAUUUUUCUUUUACAGAGUACCUUGAAGCAGGAGGUAGAAGAAACAUAAUUACAAGCAUAACAGAUUGAUUAGAUCCGGGAAGGGAUCAUAGGGAUGUUGUUCUGCAGGUACGCGCAGGCGGCAGCAACUCCACUGCCCAGCUUAACCGGAUAUCCGACAUCUUUGAGUAUCAUCUCCACACCGGCUAGACAACCCAACAAUUGCAACUGAAAUAGAUCAAAGCAAAAAAAUACGGAACAUUUGCUUUAGUAAUUGCUUCUAACAAGUUGCUAUUUAAUUUUAUCAAGUGAAAAUAUAUGGUAAUCAAGAGAUUAAAAGGAAAGGAGCAAUACUUGAUUCAGGAAUUACCUCAUUUAGGUUUCCAAGAUGUCCAAUUCUGAAUACCUUUCCGGCCACUUUGUUGAGGCCCAGACCUAAGCUCAUAUUGUAUCUCUUCCAUGCCCUUUUCACUAUUUCUGCACUAUCAAUAUAAGGGGGAACAAGGACAGCAGUCACAGUGUCACUGUACCAUUCCUCCUUUUGUGUGCAGUUCUUCAAGCCCCAUGCCUCCACAGCAAGCCUGUUUUUUAUAAUGUGCACCCAACAAAAAAUCAAUGUCGGUUAUGGCUUUGACCUCGUGAACUUGAGACAUAGAGGAAAGAAAAGAAUGGCUCACCUUGUUGCUUUGCCCAUACGGGUAUGCCUUGCAAUCACAUUGUCGAGUCCUUCCUCGAAUAUAAGAUCAAGAGCGGCUCUUAGCCCAUACAAUAGCUGGAUUGAAGGGGUGUAUGGCCAAAAUGUUCCCAGUUUGUAGAACUUGAGGUAGUCAUUCCAGUCGAAGAAAACUCUAACUGAUUUUGCACUUUUGGAUGCCUCCAAAGCUUUGGGGCUUGCACAAACAAUACCCAGUCCUGUGGGAAGAGAAAGUGCCUUCUGAGAACCGGUUAGUGCGACGUCUACUCCCCACUCAUCCAUACGAAAAUCAAGGGCACAAAUAGAGGAAACUCCAUCAACAAGAAGUAAUGCUGGGUGCCUAUAAUGAUCUAAGAAGAAACAAUAACUAUGUUUAGAAGUUGAAUACACAUAGCUUCGAUCAUAAAUAUUUGACAAUCUUUUUUUUUUCAUUCAUUUGAGCUUUGUAUCAGCUUUCACUACAAUAAAAGACAACAGCUCCAACACCAGUUGAAUACACAUCCACUACUUACCAAGUAAUUUUCUCACAGUAGCCAGGUUGUUGGUGACUCCGGUUGCAGUCUCAUUGUGAACAAUGCAAAUGGCCUUGAUUGUGUGGGAGUGAUCAGCUGCAAGUUUUUCUGCCAGAAUGUCAAGGUUAGCACCUUGACCCCACUCACUUUCAACAACGUCGACGUUGAAGUUGAGGCGUUGUUGUUGAUCAAUCCACAGCAGACUGAAUUGUCCAAUUAGAAAAGAUACAGUUCGAUCUCCAGGGGACAGGGUAUUAGUGAGUGCACUCUCCCAUGCACCAGUUCCUGACUUCAAACAGCAACAUUAUAUUCAUAAACCAAUACCAAACAAGUAAGAUACUACUUGUGAUUAAUGAUAUGAUUCAAAAAGGACAUCAUUGGCAAACAACACUUUUCAUAUGUUUUAGUUUUCAAGUCGGCUAAUCUUAACCUGAGAUGGAUAAAUGAAAACUUGUUAAAACAAGGAUUACCUGUAGUUGGAAUCAAAAAGGGAGUUCCAGUACUAGUCUUGAAAAUUUUCUUGACAUCUUCAAGAAGAUUUUUUGUCAUGGCAGGAAUGGCAGGGGAACGGUAAUCCUCAUUGUUCCUGUUCAUGGCUCGAAGAACUGGUUCCGGGAUGUUAACCGGCCCUGGAACAAAGAGAUGGUUCUUUCCUGGUCCGUACACAUAGUCCAUCUUUUCUCCCUCCAACAAAUAUCACUGAUCACUCUAAGCUUGCAACAUUAAAAACAAAACCACAAAUAAUAAAUUACUCUACAAUCCCAUACUUCAAACCCUAUAAUUACAUUAGACUGUAAUGUACAUUUAUGGAGUGCUUGGUUACUAACAGCACUCUACCACUCUUGAUUUCAUUACUCUAGCUAUUAAGGAAAUGCGCGGGGAGGGAAAACCAAAUAACCAAACAUCUAUUAGGAUACCAAAAAGAUGGGCUUCUUAUUAUAUCUUUUACCAUUAUUUUAAAUUUUAAGGCUUACAGGGACUUAAAUUGCAUUGUAGAUAUGUUCUUAGUUUAGUACGAUUUACAAGUUAUAAUAGAAUCAAAAUUUCUAUACACUUAUUCCUUCGAGAACUGAUUAAAGGAAACGACUUCCUUCGAGAACUGAUUAUUUCUGUUUCAAUCAAAUAGAAAAUAUAAAAAAGCAAAAGUAAGUAAUUGAUUGGUAAACAAACGGUGAUAAUAUUUCCCAGAACUUUCUCGAUUUCUAAGUAUAGAAACACCAACCCUUUUAUGAAGAUAUCUUUGCUCAUAAAUUUAUUGCUUCCAAAACUUAACUGAAACGUAAUCGUCAUGAUAUGUGAGCAAAAAAGAGAACUGAAACUAAUAAUAAAAACCAUAGCCAUACCUUUGGAAGAGAAGCUUCCAAUGAAAAAGGAUGAAGAGAAGAGUUGCAGGCUGCUGAUUGCCUUCGAAAAUAUAUUUGGAGUUUUAUAAGAGAGCGGGAGAAGCACUCAACGUAGGCGUGGCUCCUAAGUGGCAGAUAAGAGAGAAGGUAUUUGGAAUCUUGCGCCUGUCUAUCUUACUGACUUGGAAUGCAUCCACCUCUUGCCUUCCGUUUCCACACAAUUGUCUCUUUUAAAUAUUUAUUUGCUCUUUUUGUAUCUACGGUCCUCUAUUUUCGGGGGAAUUUUCUUCCCACCCCAUAAAAGCUUAAUCUUAUGCAUUUUUACACCCAUCAAUAGUUUUAUCAUUUCAAUUUGGUCAAUUAAUUUAUCUGAUUUAUUUGUAUAGUUAUACAUAUCAUCUUCUACUCUUAUAAAUAUUACUAUAUGUACAAGUAAUUUUAUCAAAAUAAUAAAAUUUGGAAAUUGAAGUGAUGAGUCUCUUUUGAUUAUUAUAAUUCAGUUUAGAGAACAUACCAACAAAAGACGAAAAACGAAUAUCAAUAUAUUUGUUCUCUUCUCUCUUUUCUUUUCUUUUUCUAUCAAAAACUGAGGGUACUUACAUAAAGCAUAUUUGUAUAUGAGAUGAUUAUCCUAAAUCUGAAAACCAGAAAUGGAAGGAAAAGGAGGGCGUAGCUAAGAAAAUGGAAAAUGAGAGUGGGAGUGUGAGAAACGUAGCAAAAAUUGAAGGACCGAAACGAAGCAAGGAAAAGGGGUGAAAGUGAGAUGGGGACUCAUGAGGUUGAGAAAGCAAUGCCAAGAGAUAACGUGAUAAAUUGCUCUGUCUCAAUUACACCACACAUCCCUUGUGUUUUUCUUUUAUCCCCUUACACUUUGAGGUUGCUUCUCCAAAAUUAAUAAGUAUCUCAAUGCCAAUUAAAUUAGAAUGUAAUCGUGAAACUUAAGUACUUCUAAAUGAUAUAUUUAUUUUCUUAUUAUUUUUAAAAAUAUAAAAUAUAUUUAACAUAAUAAUAUAUAAUAUAUAUUUAUUUUUUUUAUAAACAAAAAAUUAUUAAUUAAAAAUAAAAAAUUUGAAAACAUGUCUGUUAAUUAAAAACAUGAGAAUAACAUGUUUAUUUAUAAUAAUAAUAAUAACUAUUAAUUAAAAAUAAAAAACUUAAAACAACAUACUUUAGAAAUAAAAUAAAAGAGAAAACUCGAAUUUAAGUUAAAGAGUGAAAAGCACAAACGUGCUUAGUAUAAAAUGCUUUUCAGUUUUUUUUUCCUAAAUAUCAAUAAAAAUAACUUGCUUCCCUAAUUUUUUUUUAAAAAAAGUAGCAUUUAUCAUUAAUUUUGCCGAUCCUAUUAGUGAAACUUAGAAAAUUUCCUUUUUUUUUUUUUUCAUAAAUAUUCUAAUCUAAAUCAUGUUUGCCUCUAAGAUAGUGUGGCAUAAGUAAAAACAAAAGGCACCAAUCUAUAUAGAAUGCAAAAUUAUUGUUAACAAAUUGUAAGUUGUUAAGCAAAAAUCAGAAUUAAGAUAUAAGUUGUGAUCUAGGGUUGAAAAAUAGGUGAGAAGAAGUAACAACAGUUAACUAUAAAUUUCAUCUUCCAAAUUUCUAAAAUUGCAAGGUACCGACCAGAAAAAUAAGUAAUUCAAAGAAACAAAUGAAGGCAAGUCUGUUACUAACAAAAACCAGAAAUACAGUUAAACUUAGCUUCUUAUUAACUAAUAUUGGAUAAAUUAUUAUUUUAACAACUUCAAUUCAAUUUUAUCACUUGCAGAGGCAGAUUUAGGGGCUGGCACCAAUCCAUAAAAUAGAACUUUUGUUAUUUUGGCCUUUUUAAAAUUUUAAAAAUUUUAAAUUGAUAAAAGUAAAAUUGUACUUUGACAAGUUUAACACCUAGAAGAAUAUGUGUUACCUUUCCAAGUUUUCUAUAUUUUUAUUGUAAUUUUCCUAAGUUAUAUUAUUUCUUUUUUAUUUCAACAGAGUAGGAGGUGGGCAGCUCUAGAGAGGACAAAUUGUUUUCCAUUCCAAAUUUAUAAAAUCUCAAUUUAAUCUAAUGAUUAUUUUUUAAAAUCCUUCAAAAGUUAAAACCCAACUUUUAUCACUCUAAAAAAUAUAUAUUUUAAAAGGUUUAUAAAUUUUUACGUGGAUACAAUAAUAAAAUUAUAAUUUAACGUCUUUUGAUCUUUAAAAACAAUAUUUCUAACUUUAUAUUGAUCAUACAAAACCUUUAGAAGUGUGUCACACAUUUGGGAACUUUAGUAAGUAAUGGCAAGCUGCAUGAUCACUCAUGCAAGUGAUGUAUUUGGAUAUAUCUGCACCUGGUUGCAUCAUCAAUUGCACCACAAACCACAAUAAAUUGCAAACAAAGCGCAUCCAAUUGUUUUCUCUUUGUAUCUAUGACUUACCUUCCAACAGUGAUAAAUCUAAAGAUUUAUACCUAAAAAUAUUUGAAGUGGCUAAAGGUCUCAAAAUAUGUUUCUCGUGAUGUCUCAAGACACUAAUACAAAUAUUUUUAUAAUAUAUAUCUUAAAGCAAAAUUUUAAUUAUUUAUUGAAACUGAUUAAAUGACCACUCAUUGAAUAUAAAAAACAAAUUCAGUUCACCUAAAAUCAUUAAAUUAUUACAUAUUUUCUAUUAUAAUUUUAAUUAAUAAAUCUUGUAUAUAUAGUAUUUUCUUGUACUUUUUAAAGAUAAUAUUUGUACACGUUUUUUAAUAAUUUAUUCUAUGUAUUAUUGGUGCCUUAAAGUGAAUCAAAUAUCAAAUUUGAUUAACAAAUAAAAAAUACUAAUAAUAGAAAUAUAAAAUUAGAAAUCUUUUUACAUUUUUAUUAUAAAGGAAUCUUGUUUGGUUCAUAUAUAAAAAAGUAGUUAAAUUUUCACAUUUUACAAUCGAGGGAAUAAGAAUAAAUAGACAAAUAAGUUAAAAAAAACACACACACACACAAUCUCAAUUCAGGGUAACAAAUUUCUCUCACAAUUCAUUAUAGCAUAUUCGUGGGUGAAAAACAUGUAAAAAAUAUAUUUAAAACCUUAUGGAAAAGAAUAAACGAGGUUUUGAUUGAAAUAAUAAAUUUAAGACGUCAAGGAUAUUCGUAUUUUAAGUUCAAAUCUCAUUAUUUGAUGAUUUAUUAUUGAGUUUAAAUUAUUUUUAUGAAUUUUAUAUAAAAACAUAAAAAAAAAGAUAAAAAUACCCCAUAAUGAUAUUUGUUACUUGUUAAAUAGAUUAUUUUUUUAGUUAUUUUCUAACUUAAUUGGUGUCUGAUUGACUCGUGUAUAAACUAAAUUAAAUUAAAAUUGUUGAUUAAGAUUUAACUUUUCACUAAAAAAAUAAUUUAUUACUUUUACCGUAUUUAUUCUAAUUUUUAAUGAUAAAUUUAAAUAUAGUUUUUAUUUUAAUUAUGAGAUUAACUUUUAUUAAUGUAAUCUUAAAUAGGAGCGAAACCAAAAAAUUAUUUUAAGUCGUUAGAAAUGAAUAAUAAUUUUUUGAAGACCAAAGUGUAAUUUUAUUGUUAUAUUAAUUUAUAAAUUGAUAAAUUUUAAAAAGGAUUAUAUAAUAAAUUUAACAUUUGGAGAAGGAGACCAAGGCUACUGUUUGCCUUCAUCUUCAUCUCUAACCCUAAAAGUGUAUGAUGUCACACCACAACCUGUAGUUGUUAUACUGCACUCAUCCAAUCCUAUUCAAUUUCUACUCUCUUUUUUCCAAUUCUAAUUAAUUUGUCUUAAAAUAAAAAUAAUUAAAAAAACUAAAAAAUAUUUAAACUUAGAAACUUAACUUCAACCUUAAACUUCGAUCCUAAAUCAUGAAUCUAAAACUCUAAUUCUUAAUCAUGAAUGUUAAACUUUGAUCUUAAAGCUUGAACUCUAAACUUUUAACUUUUAACCAUAACUCAAAAAUAAAAAAAAAAUAUUUUACUGAAUUAUUUAAUACACAAUAUAAAAUUAAGUUUAAAAUUUAAUUAAGGAGAAUUAAUACAGUGAUAAAAAGAUGUAUGAUAUUUUAAAAGUACAGGAUGGGGCAUUUAUGUAUUAAUGGAAGCCUGAAAAAUAUGUUUUUUUUUUAACUUAUUAGAUUAUCACACAUUCAUGAAUGAAAAACUACAUAAUAAAGAUUUCAUUUUAAUAAUAUUAAUUUAUAUUUUUGAACAUAUCUUUUAGUACAAUAUACAAAUAAGAAAUUAUCAUAAAUUCAAAUUUCAUAUUAUUUAAUUAGAUGAAAUUGUUAAAAUAUAUUCCAUGGGCUUAAUUUGGUUUUGAGAAAUAGCAGCAGCUACUAAAAAGGUGCCGUUUUGGACAGGUGACAUUAGUCUUCGCCUUUAAUCUAUGUAAUUAGAAAGGAUAAAUAAAUGAAAAAUAUAAAAGGGAAAAGAAGAGAAAAGAAAACACAUGGAAAUAUUGAAAUUCUAAGCUCAUCUCAUCCCCCAAUUAGACCCAAAACAAACCACCUCUCUCUCUCUCUCCCAACGACCAAACCCUAAUCCAUUCCUAUUUAUUCAUCUCAAAAUUCUUUUCCGGUUGCUUUUAUUCGAGGCUUCUCUUCAGAUCUGUUCCACAUCAGGUCAGUUCUUUUUUUUUCCUUUUAAAUUUCAGUUUUAAUUUUUUUCCUGAUUUGAUAUACUUUUGCGGUGUCUUGGGGGGCAUUGGUUGAUAUUACUGCAUUCAUCUCCCUGUUAUCUUCUGGUCCGAUGGUUUUCUUUUUGGGGUAUGAAAUAAAAAAAAUUAUGUGUAAUUAAUGUAAUUUUUCUUAUUUUUUUUCUUGGGAAGAAUUGAAAGGAAAAAAGGGGCAAAAAAUCUGAUGGUGUAAAUGUAACACAAAAUAAAGCUUUGUUUUUUCUUUUUCGUUUCUUUUGUUUGAUUUUCACAAUAUUAUACGUACGAAGUUGAUGGGCUAAUAAGAGAGGGGCUGAUUUUCAUUCGCGUUCUCUUCGCUUUUUGAAUCUCUUCUUUUUUUAAAAAAUUUAUUUAAUGUAAUUAAAAAUCUGCAGAUAUUAAUUUUAAUUUUUUUUGGGCCUGCUAACUAUUUGCAAGAACAGAAACAAUGUAUGUGUUUGUUUGUUUGUUUGUUGGUAUACGAGUAUGAGGUAAAUAUUAGUUUUAGGAUGUUAAGGUAAGGGUGGAUUGAUCAGCUCUGGAAUUAUCUUUUCCAGCGAUUCUACAACAAUUUUCUAUUAUUGUUCAAGUAAUUAGGUGAGGAUAUCUAAGACAUGGUUUGGGAAGGAUUUUAACUUUUCGUAUGUUUUGGGACUGAAUGAAACUUCCAUUUGAGAGCUGAAGUAUGAGGGAAGUCAUACUGGAUUAGAGCUUAUAAUUGUACUUUUUAGAGCAUUUUUGCAUUUAGCCAGAGUUGACUCCAGCGUCUCUGAUUAUUUUUGUCUAUCUUGGUAAUAGGUUUUCACUUAAUGGUUGUAUAGAUAUUUUUUUCAUUUAGAUUGGCACUAUGAUUGUUUUCUUAUUUAUAUCUCGAGUGUUAGAAUUUUUAACUACAAGCAUCUAGUUAUCUGACUCUAGGGGUUCUAUUAAUUGGAGUUCUUUGCAGUUUGAUUAACAUAGAGACUCACUUUUGGAUGAUCAGAGUAUUCCCCCCGUUAUUUCUUACAGCUUAGUUGUAAUUGUUUGAAUUCACUUUAGGAAAUGAUACAUGGCUUAUUUUUUGUUGCUAAUGGUGUGUAAGUUCUGUAGGUUUAUUUCAUUUUGACGAAGUAUUUUAGAUGGAUGAUGAUAGUGCAGAUUGAUAAAAUGUCUGCUCCAUCCAGGGAGCAUGCACAGCGUCUUUAUGAAAAGGUAUUCUUUUUUUUUCCUUUAGGAAAUAAGGUUCCUUUGGAGGUUCUGAACUUAUGAAGUAAUAUUUGGUACUUUCUGCAGAAUGUAGAGUUGGAAAAUAAUCGUAGGAGAUCAGCUCAGGCACGGGUACCUUCAGAUCCCAGUGCCUGGCAGCAGAUGCGUGAGAACUAUGAGGCAAUAAUUCUUGAGGACCAUGCUUUUUCUGAGCAGCACAAUAUUGAAUAUGCUCUAUGGCAGUUACAUUACAAGCGGAUUGAGGAACUAAGGUCACAUCAUAGUGCUGCUUUAGCGUCUUCAGGAUCAAACACAUCUCAGGGUGUGCAAGUUCCUCCACGACCUGACAGGCUUACAAAAAUAAGACUGCAGUUUAAGACUUUCCUUUCAGAAGCAACAGGAUUUUAUCAUGAUCUGAUUUUGAAAAUCAGAGCAAAGUAUGGACUCCCAUUUGGGUAUUUUUCUGAUGAUUCAGAAAGCCAAAUUAUUAUGGGAAAAGAUGGGAAGAAAUCUGCCGAUAUAAAAAAGGGUUUGGUGUCUUGUCACCGUUGUUUAAUAUACUUGGGAGACUUAGCGCGGUACAAAGGACUAUACGGAGAUGGAAAUUCUAAAUCACGCGAGUAUGCAGCUGCUUCAAAUUACUACUUGCAAGCUGCAUCAAUUUGGCCAUCAAGUGGGAAUCCGCAUCAUCAGGUUUUUCCAUUUUCCUGGUUAAUAGAGUAUUCUUAACUUUUACGCCCUUAUAAUCUUUCUGCACUUGUUUUGUAUUUCUUCUGUUCAACAAGAUUCUGAUUUUUUACAUGGUCAAUUAUCUCCUUAUUUCAGCUUGCUAUAUUAGCUUCAUAUUCAGGAGAUGAGCUGGUGGCCAUUUAUCGGUAUUUCCGGAGUUUAGCUGUUGAUAACCCUUUUUCAACUGCGAGGGAUAACUUGAUUGUAGCAUUUGAGAAGGUAUGAGUGCAAAUUUUAGUUUCUAUUUGGGUUUAGGGUUUUGGACAUUAAUGACAUGGUGGCCUUUUGGAUGUAUUAUGGGUGACAUUUAAUCUGUGCGUUUGUUACAUCUAGACUAAGUUGAUUUGCAUGAACAUUUUGUUAUGUGCAUCUUCAUAAGUACUUGUGGUUUUUUGGAAAAUGAGGAUAAUUGUAAAGUAAACUUUAACCAUGUCUUGGGUGGUAUUCUGCGAAGGUGCUGAUUCUUUGUAGAACAGAUGCCUAGACCUUUCAGUCUAAUGGGAAGAAAUUAUUUAUCCCUCCUUUUGUAGUUAAUUACGUUUCUUAUGAAGAUUAGAAAUGGGGUUUCGUAGAUUGCUGACACAAAAUGUUGCCUGUAGUAGAAGAUAUUGUGUUACCCAUUGAUAUCCAUAGAUUAGCAGAAGCUACAACUUGUCAUAAUGAUAAACUGUUAUCUUAUUCUUUCCAUUAUGGAGUUCUGUGAGAAUUCUUAAUUGUGUUCAAUGACAGUUUUUAUCUUAUUUUCUUUGAGCAUGCUGCUAGUUUAUUGACAGUUCAACUUUUAGGGUUUGCCAGUUUUAUAUAAUUGUUAAGAGUGUGUAAUUAUUUAAUAUUAAAUGUUACUGACUUGAAAGCUGAUUCCGAGUGGGUUUAUUAUUUAUAUGCUAGUAUUGGAACAUGCAUAUGAUUAUGAAAUUGUAUUAAAUAUAUGCAUUACCGUUUGCAGAAUCGCCAUAAUUACUCGCAGCUCCAUGGGGAUGUUAAGGGCCCCUUCAAGGAGCCUGCUGUCCGGCUAUCGGGGAAAGGCAGGGGGAAAUUGGAAGCAAAGCUUGCAUCUAAAGAUGCCAACAUGGAACCAAACCCUGCUAAGGAGAAAGUAUCUGGUGUCCAGGAUAUUUUUAAGUCCUUUUGCAUUCGAUUUGUGCGUCUUAAUGGCAUUCUUUUUACAUGCACAAGGUAUAUUUUUUCAGCAGGCCUCUCACUUUUGUUAUUGACCUAGUCUUUUUGGGGGGUUGUGUCCUUAUCAAUGCUUACUUUGUGCAGCCUGGAGACUUUUGCAGAUGUUCUUACUCGGGUUAGCCGUGAUUUAUGUGCACUUCUCUCUUCUGGGCCAGAAGAGGAACUGAAUUUUGGCACAGGUGCUGCUGAGAAUGCACUUCUCCUUGUUAGGCUGGUUGCCAUUCUCAUAUUUACAGUUCACAAUCUGAAGAGGGAGAGUGAAGGUCAAACAUAUGCUGAAAUUGUACAGCGUGCUGCCCUGCUUCAGAAUGCAUUCACUGCUGUUUUUGAGUUGAUGGGACAUGUAAUAGAGAGAUGUUCACAGCUCCGGGAUGUUUCUUCAAGCUACACUUUACCUUCUAUUUUGGUUUUUUUAGAAUGGCUAGCUUGUUGCCCUGAUAUUGCAGCUGCUGGUAGUGAUGUUGAUGAGAAACAGUCAAUUACUAGAUCUCUUUUCUGGAAACAUUGUGUGUCAUUGCUGAAUAAAAUUUUGUCAAUUAGGCCAAGGUGCAUGGAUGAUGAUGAAGAUGAGACCUGCUUUUUCAAUAUGAGUAGGUAUGAAGGAGAGACUGAAAACCGUCUUGCAUUGUGGGAGAACUUUGAGUUGCGAGGGUUCUUGCCUCUUGCUCCUGCACACUCCAUUUUGGACUUCUCAAGGAAAUGUUCCUUUGUAAGCGAUGGCAAUAAGGAAAGGAAAGCCCGUGUCAAGAGAAUUUUGGCCGCUGGGAAGGCUCUAGCUAAUGUCAUUAGGGUUGAUCAGAAAACUGUUUGUUUUGAUUCAAAAGCUAAGAAAUUUCUUAUUGGUGUUGAGCCAUUUGCAGAUGUCACAGUGAGCUCCGCUACCCCUGUGGUAACGAAUAGUGUGGUGCAUGAAUCCCCCUCUGAAAAUAUAACUAAUAUUGGAAAUGUUCAGCCAAUCCCACAACCUAGAAUGGUUGGUGAAGAAGAUGACGAUGACGAUGAAGUGAUUGUUUUCCAGCCAGCUAUGAAUGAGAAGAGAACUGAGGUGAUGGAUCACAAUCAUCCCCCCUCUGAUAUUUUGAAGCUUGAUCUAAGUAGUUCUGCUGGUGAUCUCAAAUUUUAUGGCAGCACUAUGCCUGCUCCUUAUGAUAGUCUUCACCAGCAUGACACAUUUGAUGCUAGUCAUCCACUUCCUGUAUCUAUUGGUAGUUUUCUCCCUCAGCAUCUGCAGCCUGUUCAGAUGCAUGGAUCUAGGUGGUCAUUAGAAGAAGCUACUUCUCUGGCUAAUAGCUUAAAAGGUUUGAAAAUGUUGGAGAAUGGGCAUUUAACUAAGAGUCAGAUGGAAGAUAAUUUAGGCUUUUCUCAUUCUGCUGCUCAUUCUGUUGCUAUCCAACUGCCCAUCAAUGUUCAUGCUAGUGGUAUGUACUGCAGUCGGACAAAAAUUUCAGAAACUGUGAUGCCAUCCAGAAUUAAUGCUAUUGUGUCAUCUGAAGUUACUGGUGAUGAUUUGGCUGCUAGAACUACCUCAGCUUCACUAGUUGGAAUGCAGAAGAAUCCUAUUAGCCGCCCAGUCAGGCAUCUUGGUCCGCCACCAGGUUUUAGCCCUGUUCCUCUAAAGGCGCUGAAUGAAUCUGUUUCUGCUGUAGAAUUGAGGAACCCUCCGAUGGAUGAUUAUAGUUGGUUGGAUGGACAUCAGUUGGCAUCAUCAUUAGAAGGCUCUAUGCGUGAGAGUUCUCUCUGUUAUUCAUCUCAUGCUGAUCCCCAACAUGUAAAUAACAGAAGCAAUGGCUUCACUGGAACGGUAAGCUUUCCUUUCCCUGGAAAGCAAGCUCCUGCAGUGCAGUUUCAUAUGGAGAAGGAUAAAGGCUGGCAGGACUACAAUACUCUUGAGCAUCAUCAUGAACAGAAAUCGCAUCAACAGCAACCUGUGAAUGGGAACCAGCAGUUUAGCUCACUGCCUGUGCAGUAUCCAGGACAAUCAGCCUGGACAGGUCCUUAUUUUGUGUGAAAUCAAUAUGCAAGUGUAGCUGGUGAGUAGGAACUUCACUCAUUUUCCACCUCUUGGUUUUGUAGUUUGAUUGUAAUGCUUUCUAAAGUCCUUUUCACAACCUGUUCAUCUAGAUUUGUUUUUGUUCUCAAGGUUCUUGAGAAUGGUUACUGUGAAUGUAUUGCUUCCAUUUGCCUGCCAAGUUCAAGUCCAACUUUGAGGCACUGUCAGUGUUGAGUUUUUGAUGGAGCAUGGGAAGCAUUGGCUUCCAGCAGGCACUUGCUGCUAAACAAGUGAGUAUGCACUAUUAUUUUCCUUUUUCAUUUUGUUUGUAUGCACUUGGUGUUCUUAUUUUAGAUCAUUUCCUAGUAACUCUAGCUAAUGGAAGCCACUCUGUAUUUCAUCCACUCUAGUCAUGAAUAUAUAGUUUCCUGUUUAUCUCAACAAAAGUGGGGCGUAUUGUUAGUUUUGCAGAUUUAGCCAGAUUUGUAGAGGAAGAUUGAGGAAAUCAAUCAAUCUUAUGAGAUGCGGAAUUUGUAAGGGAGUAAAUGCCUUAACCAGUCACUUUGGGAUGGAGAUAGAAGGCCUAAAUAAAGCUGAUCUGUUGAUUUUUGAGGCUAUCUAUCUUGAGGAGUUUUGGUGAAAUAAACUUGGUUUAGUAUGCUAUAUAGCUUUCCAAAUGUCUGCCUAUAGAUUGCUGCUUGUAAAAUUCUGCAAGCAGCAGAUGAUAAGAUAUAAAUGAUAUGGUGGCCCAAUUCUCCGCAGAUACUGCUUUGAGAACUCUAGUUGAGAGGUAUAAGAGCAACUUAUCAAUGGAUGAACGGUGGGAGGGAUUGGAAAUACUCGGAACGUGUACUUCUAACAUCUCUCCAUAUUUGGUGGUGAGUAUUGAAUAAAGACUUCAUUUUGUUAUAUAUUUUAGUGACCAGGAAGUGUUGUUUGUUGAAAUUGGGGUUUCAGUCGAAACUACCUCUAUUAUGAAAUACAUAACUAAAUUAAUGAAUGCUUUGGAUAAUUUCUUUGUUUCUGCUUGUUUGGUUACUGUAAUACUACUGAGUUGCUGCCAAUUUCAAACUCAUAAAUAGAUUUUGCACUAAUUAUUUAAUGUGGAUCGUAAAGUAUGUUUUUCUACUGUGUUUAUUGUCAGGAACAUAAAAGUACAAACAUCUUUCAACUUCAACAAGCCUGUGGUGUCACUGUUUAAUGACAAUAGGGGUUUUCAUUUUGGUAUAAAUGAAGUCUUGUAUCCUAACACAAGGUUCUCGUAUCAGAAUUUAUUUUCCUAACCCUUACAGUCGCCAGUGGUACUCUCAGGAAAGGACUCUAGUUGAACAGUAUAGUUCAAUUUUCCAUAAUUCCAUUGCAAGCCCAACAGUUAGUAAAUGUAGUCACUUUUACUUUUGGUGCCCUAACAUCAUAAUUAAUACCUCUCCUCAUGGGACCAUUUUCUUUUUCUUCAUUUCGAAAUAUCAGCUCUCCAAUCUUGAUCCUUUAAAAUCAAAUACAAAGCACUUAGCCUCCAAGGACUAGGACAGAGCCAUUUCUUUAAAACAAAAAAAGAAUGAUUUGGGCAAGAUUUAUUUCAACUAAAUUUUCAAGUAUAUUAAAACUUGCAUGAUUUGAGGCAAGUUCAUGUUGCUUCAAAAUAUUCACAAAAAUAUUUUUCUUUCCACGUUAUAAUUUUUAUAAAAACCUUAUAUGGUUUCAAUUUGUAAAUAUAAAUAUAAAGCAGAGACAGGAUAUGGAUGAGGAAUUUUGCUUUUUAGGAUUGAGAGAGAUGAAACUAAAGUACUAAACAAAAUCAAGUUUAAAUAAUAAUAAAAAACCAUAAAUAGAGUCCAGAACUAUGUGUAAAUAUUCAUUUAUCUUCUAGCUCCAAUAGAAAAAGAAAAUCCAAAUCUGGCAAUCAGAUUUGGAGUUCCAUCCACGUUGGAGGAGUAAUAAGAUGAUAAUCAAUCCACAUACGGUAUAUAUACUAUAUUCACAUCAAUUCAUCAAAUAAUGCGCACUCCUAUUCAACUCAUGAAUUCGUGGCCAUCAAACCAUUUGGCUCCACCAAUUCAAACACUCGCCUAAUAUAAAUAUAUAUAUAUAUAUAUAUAAUCUUCAAAGCAAAUGUAAAAUCGGAAUUCCUCUAUUUUCUAUCAUUCCAACUUCUACCAUUCAAAACCAACUACAAAUUUACCUUUUCAUACAAUAUUAAAUUAUUUAAAUAAAAUUUGAGGAUUGUUUUAGAUAAAAAGAAUAAAGAUAUUUAUGUGGUGUUGUAAAUAUCAAUAACUAAAAUGGUUGAAAUGAAGAAAUGAGGUCGUACGUUGUUCCGAAGAGACAAGGCUCAUAAGUCAUAACUAAAAAGGAGGGCGUUUGGCAGUUGCCUGCACAUGGUUGUUUCUCAUUUCUAACAAGAUUGCCACGUGAUUCUGCAUAUGCGCAUUGACCCCACCUUGCGUUCUAUUUAAUUUCAAUCGUUAAUUUUUUAAAAGCAAAGAUAGGUUCCAUAUCACAUGCAAUAAAUAUUUGGUGCCACGAAUAAAUGUUUGAUGUUACAUAUUAUCAAUCAAGGGAAACCAACUUUUUUGUUUUAUUAUGAUUGAGGCAUUUUGUUGUUUGAUUCACAUCCCCUCUCCUUUGGAUAACUUCUAUUCAUGCAUAUCCUUUCUUUUCCUUCCCAAAUAAAAUUUACUUAUUUUUUUUUACUCUUUCUUUUUCAAGUUUAAUUUUUUACCAGUUAUUAUUUAUAUUAUGAUCGUUUAUACAAUACUUAGGUAACAAGUCAUUUUUUCUUUAUAUUAAUACACUAAAUAAUCAAACGAAACAUAAUCUUCUUUUUGGUAGAUAACAGAUAAAUUAAUUUCAGUAGCACUAGAAAUCGCAUAUUGAACAUCUUUAUGCAACUUCUCCACCAAUAAAUCUGGAGUCUUCUAGAACACUAUAGAACCGUAAAGAAGAUUCCUCAUCAAAGCAGCCAAUUCAUGCGUGACCACAUUAGCCUCCCUUGGAAUUUGUUGGAUGACCACCUGCCAAUAUCAUCUACACAAAGUUUGGAUUCGUAGGGUUAAAUCUCUGUAUGAAACUACUCAUGUAGACGUAUCCAAAAUGACCCCAACAGCUAAAGCACAAUCCAUUUCAAUUAUAAUCUUCUUCCUCUUCGCAUUCCAAUCCAAUAUGAGACCAUCAUAUAUUGUCCAAAAUUCAACUUACUCAACAUCACAUUUUUCAGUGUUCCUCCCGACUCCACCAAAUCAAAUGCCAUGACCAUCUCUCAUCAUUGCUGCUACUAAUGCUAAUUACCCCAAACCUGGAUUAAUCCUUGCGUAGGUUAAGUCAAAGAACUCAUUGGCAUUUGAAAUUAUUAUGCUUCUUUGCCAUCAAAACUUACAAGGAUAGAUUGGAGGUGGAGUUGAAUUAAAUGAAUUUAUAAAUUUAUAAGUCAGAUGAUUCUAAUAACACUUGAUUAAUUUUUAAAGACGUAAAGUUACCGAUAAUGAGAAAAUGGAUGGGAGGCAUGCUAAUUGGUACUGACGGUUUAGUUAAAAUGCAUGCAUGUCUCUUUACGUUAUAUUACAAUUAAUAAAGAUAUCAGCAAUUAGAAGAGUUGAUACUAGACUAGAAUACCGACUACUCCAACUAAAACCUAAUGCCAUUUACAUGUACCCCUGUAAAUCUAUUUUCUUAAAAAUUCAACAUCUCUAUUUUUACCAAAAAUCUUUAAUUGCCACGUACCCCCACAAUUAUGAUCAAUGGACCAAAAGUUAAAAGAGUUGAACAUUUUCUCUCUCUUUUUUGUGUGCGUAAAAAUACCAAAAUAAUUAAGGAUAAAAAGGAAUUGUUGUGGUAGGAGAUGGAUGGUGACAUUUCAAUCAAAUUUGUGAAAUGUAGGGAGGGUUGUCGUGGAUUGAGCAGGCAAUCAAUGAUUCAAGCUCCACCACCCACUAACCUCCCAAAUAUCUUUCCCCUCACACUUCACUCUAAAAUUACAACUUUACUCAAUCCUUCCAUUUAUACCAUAUUUAUUUUAAAAUCCAUUUAAAUAACUCCAAUAAAUAUACUAAACCCAAACACACUUUAACUAAUAAUAAUAUUUUUAAAUAUUAGAUUUAGUAUCCAUAGUUUCAAUAGCAAAUAUCUUUAAUUGUUUUGAGUAAUUACUUAAUGCUCAGCAAACUUACACCACCAACACCUAUAGUCCUAUAUAUACUGCUCACCAAACAGCUGCACAACGCACAGACGCAAAAACAGAAAGAGCAAUGUCUCGGCACAGACGCCAAGCCUCUCGAGUGCUCCCACCGGACCUAAGUCUAACAUGGGAAGGAGACGAGCAGCCACCCAAAUCCACCCACUCCUCCGUCCAACCAAUUGCCACUGCCACUCCCUACGGCUCUAAAGCUACAUCCACUGACACCUCUUCAAAUCCAUCCACAACCAUUCUUCAACAUUACUCUUCCGGAGACCAUUCCCUGCAGUCUCCUCAAAACAACCCUUCUACAACCACCAAACCUUCUUGAAAUGAAACCCCUACUUCUUAUUACUACUUCUUUUCUUUGUAGCAGUGUUGAAGGCUUAUCCUAGUCUUCUUUUUUUCUUCUCAUUUCAUGUGUAUAAUUUGUGUUGGUAAGCUGAAAAAGCUUGACGUUUGAUGUACGUUGUGCCAGGUGUUGCUUAUUUAGCUUCUUGAAUUUGCAAUACUUCUCUGCCUCUUUCUCAAUAGGAUCUUUUUUCUUCUAUUUUUGCGCAUUGUAGGUUUUUCUAUUUCAUGCCAAGAGUAAAUGAUUUUAUUUAAGAAAAAAGAAUCGGAUCACUUUAAUUAAGACAAUGCAUUGAAUACAUGAAUAUCUCCUUUUAGUUUUUAUAAUUUUAUCUAUUUUUUUUUUUACUAUUAACCAUUAAGUUAUAAUAACGACCCUAAUCACACACUUUAUAACUAAAAGAUAGUGAAGUUAGCAUAUUAGAGAAUAUCUUCAGAGUAUUUUAAUUUUGAUUUUUCACCAUGUUAUUUUAAUUAAUUUUAAUCAUAAGUACUAGAGUUUAAGUUCAAUCCCAAACAACCACAUUCUCCUCCUCCAAUUAUAAAAUAUAUAUAUUCGUAAGUGACAAGAGAA